RNAcentral lists this long non-coding RNA (47057 nucleotides) under Vitis vinifera (wine grape). Its description in RNAcentral is "long non-coding RNA (VVIN_LNC003131)". The record is from RNAcentral. Lineage: Eukaryota; Viridiplantae; Streptophyta; Magnoliopsida; Vitales; Vitaceae.
UGCAGAGGAUACAUGGCACCAGAGUAUGCAUUAUGGGGUUAUUUAACCUAUAAAGCCGAUGUAUACAGUUUUGGGGUUGUUGCUUUGGAACUUGUUGCAGGGAAGAACAACAUGAAAUAUAGACCAAAUGAGGAUUGCUUUUGUCUUCUAGAUUGGGUAAGUCAGUUUUUUUUUUCUUGUUCUUUGCAUGUGUUAAAUCAAGAUAAUGGUUUGAAACCAGAUCACUUUUUCUGAAAUUUGUCUGUUUAACUUGGUCAAGCUGCUUUCAUUGUGGAGAGGGAGGGAGAGAAGGAGAGAGAGAGAGAGAGAGAGAGAGAGAUGGAGAGAAAGAGAGAGUAGAAGUAAUCAACUUAGUAGUAGUGUAACAAAUGUUAGGUGGAUAGACAUAACAUAAUGACAGCAUCAAGACCACUUCCAUUUUCCAUUUUGCUUCAUUUUCUCCCCUUUUGCAUUGGUCAUUUCCUAGAUUGUGAACUAUUAUUUAAUCUCAUUGUCUGAAUUGUGGUUGAUAUGAUUUUAUUUGUUUUUCUAAACAUUUCCGACCUUCUCUUUUGCUUCCUUCAGGCCUUUGUUUUACAACAAAAAGGAAAUUUAAUGGAGCUAGUGGAUCCAAAGUUGGGGACUGAGUUCAAAAAGGACGAAGCCAUAAGGAUGAUCAAAGUUGCCCUAUUAUGCACCAAUCCAUCUCCAGCACUUAGACCUACCAUGUCUGCAGUGGUGAGCAUGCUCAAAGGUCAAACUGUCAUUCAGGAAUACCCCCUGAAUCCUAGUAUUUAUGGUGAUGAAUUUGGGUUUGAAGCCCUCAGAGGCCAGUAUGACCAGAUGCAAUUACAGAGCUCAAGCGACAUUGAGCCCCUCAAUCAUUCAUCACAUACAGCACAGAGUGGAUCUUCCUUAACAUCUUCCCAAGAUCCAUAAAAUGUCUCUACCUUGCCUCGUAUUAAUUCAGUCAUGGUGAGAAUUUUUAUUUUGUCAGUGCUCUACUUAUUGUUGGAAGUUGUUACUUCAUUUUGAUGAUCCAUUUUAAUUCGAAAUACAAAGAAAAGUACUUCCAAAUUGCUUAUCAAACAUUAUAUUAUUCAGCCUUCUUGUUAUGCAUUCCAAGUUUUUACUUCAUUUUGUCAUCAAGUGACAUUUUGUAUUGAAUUUAACAAAUUUUAAAAAUAAUUUAGAACUAAAAAAAAUCUAAUCAUUAAAAAAAUAAUAUAUCAAAAUUAAUAUAUUAUGAGUUAUGAUUUUACUAUUUUUUUUAUAUACAUAAAUAUAUUUUUUGAAUUUAAGUCAAUAAAUUAUAAAUUAGAUAAGAUAUAAUUAAUAAUUUAAAUUAUUUAAUGAUUUUUUAAUUUUAAAGGAUAAUUUUGAAUUAAAAAAACUUAUCUAAUUAAUUAUUUUAAAAUAUUAUGUUUGUAAUUCGCUAAAUGCGUGCAUGCAUUUACAUAUUACAAAAGUGAAACUUUAUUUAUUAUUCAUUAUAAAUAAAAUAUUGUUAAAAAUUAUUAUUUUAAAUUAUUAUUAUUCGUUUUUAACAAGAAAAAAAAUGCUAAUAACUUUAUGUUUAUGAUAUAUACUAGAACAAUAUUUUUGUAUAAAAAAAUAUAAUUUAUGAUUUUAAUAAUAUUAUUAUUCAUAUUUUAUUAAAAAUUAUUUAUUUUUUAAUUUAUUUGUAAUUACAAAACUAUCUUCAUUUUUUUUAAUAAUAUUUGAAUUAAAUUAAAAUUAUAUUAUAUAAAUUGAAUUUAUAAUGAUUUUAUAAAAUCAAAAUAAUAAAAAAUAUUUUUAAAAACAAUUUAUUCAAUCAAGUUUCUUUGUUAUUUAUUUAAAAAAAUAAUUUGUCAAACACUCUUGUUUUUUAUAGAAUACUAUCAAAUUAUUUUUUAUUCUUUAAUUUAAAAACAGUUUUAAAAAAUUAUGAACAAAUAGACUUAAAUUAUUGGCAUAAAAGGCUUGUUUUUAAGAUUAAAAGAUAGAUUUCUGUUUUAGAAAAUAAAAAAGUUGUUUUUGAGAAAGUAUUUUAUUCAAACUUUUAUUUUUUAUUUGAUUGUGGAGGGUAAAAUAGAGAGUUGAAAAGAAAAAUAUUUUUAUAAUUAUUACAUGUUCGAAUUGUUAAAAUGUUUUUCUAAAUAAUAAGUGUUUUCAUUUUUUUUUCUAAAGGUUGUUUGUAAGGCUGUUGUACAUAUUCAAAUAAUUCAAUAAAGAUCACGACACAUCUUGGCUUAACAGUUGAACUGACUGACAAUAUUAACGUAUAAAACCAGUUCAAGAAUACGAUUGGCUUCAAAAGUGAGAAAAUGUUAGAGCUGGCAAUAUCAACGGGUGAAACCAGUUCAAGGUCUCUUAGCUCUCACGAUACGUGUGAGCUUAACGGCAUCUAAAGUGAGGUAUACUGAGCUGGCAAUAUCAACGGGUGAAACACAGGUCCCUCAGCUCUCACGAUACGUGUGAGCUUAACGGCAUCUAAAGUGCGGUAUGCUGUAUGCUGAGCUGGCAAUGUCAACAGUAAAACAGCAAUUCAAGAACACAGCUCGCUUCACAAGUGAGAGAAUGCUGAGCUGGCAAUGUCAAUGUAUAAAAGCUGUUCAAGGACACAACACUCCACUCAGAGUUCUCGUUCUCAACCCCUCUCUCUUUCUCUCUAUAAGCUUUUCUCUCUUAAAGCUUCCUCAGAGGUAAGUUCAAAACCCUUGUUCUCUAGAGUUUCAAUUACUUUCCUUACUCUGUUUUUUCAACGAACGAAAUCUCCCUGAAAAACUGAUUAUUGAUUCUUGAAAACCUUUUUUUUAUUGUUUUUUUCCUAAAUAAAAGAUUUUUUUCGUAUACGUUGUUCUUUUUUUUCAAGAUUUUCCUUGCUUUUAUUUUCACGAGUUUUCUGGGCAUCCAAACAGAUGUUUUUUAGAUUUGAUAGCUUUUUCAUAUACGUUGUUAUUUUUUUAUUUUUUCGAGAUUUUCCAUUCUCUUUCUUUUCAUGAGUUUUCUCGGCAUCCAAACAGAUGUUGUUAUAUGUUUCCUUUGUGAUAUCUCUAUUUUCUUUAGAUUCUCCUAGGGAAAAGAUAUGCUUAUGUUACUCUGCUUCUUGAAAUGAUGAAACGACGUCUACGAUUAUUUCUCAUUGUAAUUAUGUUCUCCACAUUCAUCACUUUGCAAGCUUCGGCUAUCGCAUAUCCACGAGAUUGCAUCUCCACUUUUUGGGUAUUGAUUUUUUUUUCAUCUUUCGAUUUUAUUUUUUUAUUUUUUUUAUUGUUGGGAGAUUGAUUCUUGACUGUUAAAAAAAUAAUUUAACCAGUUUCAGCUUUUACGGAUCACAAGAAGGGUACUAGUUCUUGUAAUCUUGAUUUUUUCCUUGUCAUUUUUUUUUAAUUUCUCUAGAAAAUUGAGAUAAUUUGCACUACAUGGUGAUUACCAGUUAUUGUAAUGCUUCAUUCCAAUUGUUUGGUCUCCAAGAAAAUUUCUGGAAUCUUAGAAAGCGAAACCUCCACCUAAUUGGACCCAACGUUUGGUUGAGUUUAGUUUUUGAUCCCUCCAAAACAAGAUUAGCAUAGAUAACAUGGUUCUGAAUUGAAUUUUUUUUCCACUCCAAGAGUAACAUAGAUAAUAUGGUUCUUAAUUGAAUUUUUUUUCGCUUUUUCUUUUCCUUAGUUUUCUUUGCCAGCAAAGAUCUCCAUGUUCUUUUCUCGAGGGAAAAUAACAGAAUGGUUUUCUCUCCAAAUGAGGUAAUGCUGAGAUCUUCUAUGUAGCUAUGAAUGGGGCUUACAUAAUAUUGUGGGCAAUCAUAGUGGGGUCCACCAAAAUGGAUGAAUGCCCAAAAGUGAUCGAGUGCUACAUUGGAUCAAAAAUAAAAAUGACUAAUCAAUAGACUAAUAAUCCGAAAAAACAUAAGUGAUUCUCUUCUUUUCACUUUCUGCAGUGGCAACUCUUCAAGACUUGUACAAGGAACUGAAGUUACUGAACUACCCACUAUAGUUGGAGAAGUGGAGAUCAUAUGUUGGGGUCCAUGUGAUGAAUCAUGGAAAGGAGUCUCAUGUUCUAAGUCCAUUAUUAUUUUCAUGUAAUGUAACAUAGGUCCUUUUUAACUAUGUGCCCAAUUUAGAUGAUAUGUGGAAACCACAUGUUCUCUUAUCUCUGCAGUCAGCUUCCAAGACUAAACCUUGGUGGACAUAGGAGGCCUGCUCCAUAAAUUAUUUUUUUUUUGAUAGGUAUUGAAUGCCAACUCCAUAAUCUCCAUAAUUUGAAGCAACUGUAAGAGAUUAUGUUGAUUUAAAUUUAGGUUUAUGUUUUGCUUAUGUGGGUUUUAUUCACUAAUUAUUUUUUCAAUUUGUGCUUUCUAUUAAGAUGUUGGCUUCAAUAACAUUCAGGGUGAAAUUCCAUAUGGGUUACUCCCUAAUGCCACUAAUAUAUGAGAUGCUUGAAUAUAAGUUUCUAUUAGAUUUCCUAAUGAUUUAUGUAAUUUAUUUGUGAUUUCUUUUCUAUGAAUGCAAAAAUUUUGGCACGCAACAAAUUUAGUCAAAAUAUUCCCCACUCCCUCAUUUUAUUGAAAAAUCUUUGACAUCUGUUAAUUGUCCUAGUACUGCCCAUUUUAAUGGUUACUAUAGUUGGUUUACACUAAUAACUCAUAAAUGACAAUUAUAUAUUUACUGGCCUGCAGAAUCUAAAAGGAAGCAAGACAGUUAUAUUAUUGAGUGUUUCGUGGUCGUAGUGGGUUUUCUUGGAGAUUAUGACACAAUGAUAAGCCUUCUUUAUAUGGAUGUCUUGUGUGUUAAUAUUCUGUUGUGGAUGGAGUUGAAAUUAAUUGGUAGUUGCUUGUAUAAUUUUAUUACUCAUUAAGAAAUCAUAAUUUUUAAUACUUAAACAAAAAAAAAAAUCAUAAGACAUAUAAUUUAGCCUCUUCUGUUAGUUUGUUCUAUCAGCAAAAUUUAUAUGCUUUGGAAAUUGCACCAUAUUUGGAUUUGUUGUCCCAAGUAUCUAUCAUGCAUUCACUUUAUUGGGUCUGUGAUCUUCUUGCUGGUCUAUAGGGUCCUUCAUUGCAAUCUUUCUCAUCACUUGGUGUUAUCUGUUCUUUUAUCAAAAGACUUGUUUCUUUCUUACCAGGAACAUCCAUGGUAACCAUUCUAGUGGCAUCAUCCCAAGACAAUUUCAGUCAACACCAAAUUUAUGGUUAGUGAUCAUAGCCUGAGUAACGUUGUUACUUUUAAUCUGCAUACACUACCAUAUCAGAUUAUGCUUUGAUAAUUUUUUGUCUUUAUCUCUUAUUAGGUUUUGGGGGAAUAGGCUCCAUCCAGGAGGCAACUUAUUCACCUUAGGAUUUCCCUUUGGAAACUGAGUAGAAUAUUAAUAGCCCACCAACAAUUGAAUCAAGUGUUGUUAAGGACUACCCUUUCAGGAAAGCUCUUGAGCACCAGAAAAAAAAAAAAAAAAAAAACUGGGUCCUGAAGGAAUAACCUCAUAGUUGAUGGAAGAAUUCUGAUGGUAAGUUGCACGGUGCUCCUACUUGUUCACAUUUAAUUGAGCUUGUGCACAAAAUCACAAAAGCUUGGAGAGUAGUGAAAGUCCAUGGUAUUAUCUUCCAACUACUACAAUCAAAGGAAAAAUUUUAUUAGCCCAUGUCUAUGCUUAUUGAUGAUCUAUAGUAAUAUAUCAGCUAUGGAUUGUUACCUUCCUGAUUACCUUCCUUCCUGGUUAUUCAAUGGUCUUUGACUGCAGCAGAUGAAAGCCCACAAUUCCUUGCUCUUAGUCCUCCACUGAUGUUUAUGUCAAGGCAGAUUCCCACUACUUGUCAUGUUAGAUUUGAGAAAAUUUCUUCCAAGAGAAGUUUCUUCCAGAAUCCCAACAAAUGCAAAACACAGUAUAGCAAAGGUUCAAUAAGCUAGAAACAACAAUUCUUUGGAGUUUCCCCCAAAAGUAUCAGGUUAUUAUGUAAACAUGGACCAUGUUGCCCUCCUUACUCCUGAGUUUACAACUUCGAUUGUUGUUGCAGGCAUGAUUGCAAACACUAGUACCUAACCAUGCCAGCUUCAUCCAUGUGACUUCAGUUCUUUGGGGUUCCUUACUAUAUAGUCUAUUUUGAUCUUCAAAGUUUAUGAGUGACAAAUUAUGAAUCUCAAAAAAGCUUCAUUUAGCCAAAUCCAUACAAUGACAUGAUGGUUGUAGAAUUAUACGUUUUAGAGUUGAAAACUUUGUGGUUAGAUACUUUUUUUUUUUUUUUUUUUCAGAAAGACAAAGUUGUUAUAUUUAUUUAAUCAAAGCAGUAAAAAAAACUAAAGAACACAUUGAGAUGGCAAAAAUUGGAGCAAACAUAGGUUCCUUGGUUAUGAUUUGGGUCCUGUUCUACAAAUAACUUCUUAUGAGUUAAAUUUAACCAAGAAAUCAGUGUGUCAUUUUGUAUCUAAAUAGGAGAUGAGUAGAAUAGUUUCUGGUAAUCAUUCCAUGUUUGAUCAUCAUCAUAUCUCCUAAUAAAAUAUUACAUGAUGAUUCUGAUCUUAUCUAAUAUUUUACCUAUAUAAUUGCAAGUUAACCAGAUUGUUCCGGUGACUGAAUCCAUUUGUGCUGCACUAGACUCUAAAGCUGCAGGAUUGUGUAUGAUAGUCAGCCAUUGGAGUGGUGAAUCAGAGGAUAACUUCAUAGAUGAUCUUUCUGUUGGCUUGGCAAAUGGACAGGUUCUAUCAGUUGAACUCCUUAAGCUCUGUUAUGUGUUCUGCUUUUUUUUAUUGCUGCUAGAAAGAAACUAUUGUAUAUCAUGUCAUAUAGACCAAAACUAUUGUAUAUCUACGAGAUUGCAUCUCCACUUUUUGGUUCUUGAUUUUCUUGUAUCUUUUCAUUGUUUUUCCUUUUUAUUUUUGUUGUUGGGUGAUUGAUUAUUGAGUAUUAAAAAAAUAAUUUAACCAGUUUCAACUUUUGCGGAUCACAAAAAUGGUACUAGUUCUUGUUGUCUUGAUUUUUUCCUUGUCAUUUUUUUUUUAUAAAAAAAUUCUCUAGAAAAUUGAGAUAAUUUGCACUAUAUGGCGAUUACAAUUUAUUGUAAUGCUUCGUUCCAAUUGUUUGGUCUCCAAGAAAAUUUCUAGAAUUGUAGAAAGUGAAACCUCCACCUAAUUGGACCUAACGUUUGGUGGAGUUUAUUUUUUCACUAUUUCCUUUCCUUAGUUUUCUUUGUCAGCAAAGAACCCUAUGUUCUUUUUUUGGUUUUUUUAGGGAAAAUAACGUAAUGGUUUUCUCUCCAAAUUAGGUAUUGCUAAGAUCUUUUAUGUAGCUACAGUAUGAAUGGGACUUACAUAAUAUCGUGGGCAAUCAUAGUGCGGUCCACCAAAAUGGAUGAAUGCCCAAGAUUGGUCGAGUGCUACAUUGGAUCAAAAAUAAAAAUGACUAAUUAAUGGGCUGAUAAUCCGAAAAAACUUAAGUGAUUCCCUUCUUUUCACUUUCUAUAGUGGAAACUCUUCAAGACUUGUACAAGGAAAGGAAGUUAUUAAACUACCCACCACAGUUGGAGAAGUGGAGAUCAUAUGCUGGCGUCCAUGUGAUGAAUCAUGGAAAUGAGUCCCAUGUUUUGAGUCUACUAAUGUAACAUAGGUCCUUUUUAACCAUAUGCCUAAUUUAGAUGAUAUGUGGAAACCACAUGUUCUCUCAUCUCUACAGCCAGCUAGCUUCCAAGACUAAACCUUAGUGGACAUUUUAUUGGAGGCCAACUCCAUAAUUUUUUUUUGUUUUUUUUUAUAGGUAUUGGAGGCCAGCUCCAUUAUCUCCAUGAUUUGAAGCAACUAUAAGAGAUUAUGUUGAUUUAAAUUUAGGUUUAUGUAAAAUUAUGUGGAUUUUAUUCACCAACUGUUUUUUCAAUUUGUGCUUUCUAUUAGGAUGUUGGCUUCAAUAACAUUUAGGGUAAAAUUCCAUAUAGGUUACUCCCUAAUGUCAUUGAUAUAUCAAAUUCUUGAUUAUAAGUUUCUAUUAGAAUUUGCACUAGGGUCGGAUGGCUUCUCAAUGGCCUUUUGGCAGUUUGCGUGGGACUUUGUGAAGGAGGAAGUUAUGAAUUUGUUUAGACAGUUUCAUGAGACGGGGAGAUUUGUAAGAAGCUUGAAUGCAACUUUCUUAGUUUUGAUUCCUAAGAAAGGGGGGACUGAGGACUUGAAGGACUUGAAGGACUUUAGGCCAAUAAGUUUGGUGGGAGGGCUUUACAUAUGGUUGGCUAAGGUGUUGGCUAACAGGUUAAAAGGAGUGUUAGCCAAAGUGAUAUCUUUGUCUCAAAAUGCUUUUGUGGAGGGGCGGCAGAUUAUGGACGUAGUUCUGAUCACAAAUGAGGCUAUAGAUUCAAUUCUGAAAAGUAAUAAUGGGGCAAUUUUAUGCAAAUUAGAUAUCGAGAAAGCCUAUGAUCAUGUGGAUUGGUCAUUUCUAUUAGCGGUGUUGGGGAAAAUGGGAUUUGGAGGAAGGUGGUGUAGUUGGAUAAAGUGGUGUUUAUCCACAGUCAGUUUUUUGGUCUUGGUGAAUGGCAGUCCAACGGGUUUUUUCCAGGGCUCAAGGGGCUUAAGGAAAGGAGACCCCCAUUCGCCUUAUCUAUUCAUAAUAGUGAUGGAGGCUUUUAGCUGUUUGAUGAAAAGAGCAGUUGCUGGAGGUUUUUUUACGCCAUGUAUUGUGCGGGGAAGAAGGGGUGAAGGGGUCCAAAUUACACAUUUAUUGUUUGUUGAUGACAUGUUGGUGUUUUGUGAAGCUAAAGAGGAUCAGUUGACUCACUUGUGCUGGUUGUUAAUGUGGUUUGAGGCUUUGUCGGGGUUAAAAGUGAAUAUGGAUGAAAGUGAAUUGAUCCCAGUUGGUAUAGUUGAAAAUACGGGAGAGUUAGCGGAUGAAUAUGGAUAUAAAGUGGGAAAUUUGUCAUCCACCUAUUUAGGAAUGCCUUUGGGUGCCCCUUUCAAAUCUAUCGGUGUAUGGGAUGGAAUAGAGGAAAGAUUCAGAAAGAGAUUGGCUAUAUGGAAGCGUCAAUACAUCUCAAAAGGAGGAAUGAUUACUUUAAUUCGGAGUACUUUGUCCAACCUUCCGAUCUAUUUUAUGUCCAUCUUCCACUUACCUAGAGCGGUUAGGAUGAGGUUGGAAAAAAUACGAAGGGAUUUUCUGUGGGGAGGUGGCUCUCUUGAGCAAAAACCUCACAUAGUAAGGUGGCCGAUUGUGUGUGAAAACAAAAGUAAAGGAGGCUUGGGGGUUAAGAGCCUUGGUUUGUUCAAUAAGGCUCUCUUGGGCAAAUGGUCUUGGCGCUUUGCUAACGAAAAAAAGGCCCUUUGGAAUCAGGUGAUCAGAAAGAAGUACGGGAAGGAAAUUGGAGGAUGGAGAUCUUGUGAGAUAAGGGAGGUUUACGGAGUUGGUUUGUGGAAAGCUAUAAAUAAGGUGGGACAGCUUGUAACCCCUUUUUUUGGCUUUGAGGUGGGGGAUGGUAAGAAUGUGAGGUUUUGGAAAGAUAAGUGGUGUGGUACCAGCCCUUUAAGUGAGACUUUCCCUUCACUUUUUGCAUUAGCAACGUCAAAAGAGGCUUGGGUAAAUGAAGUUUGGACAGCCGCGAGCGAUAGGAGGGGAAGUUGGACUCCUACUUUCAAUAGGUUGUUUAAUGAUUGGGAGAUGGAAGAAGUAGGAAGGUUACUUUGUUAUUUGGAAGGAAAGAUGGUGAGGGUGGAUGAAGAGGACAGAGUGAGUUGGGUGAAUUCAAAGGACGAGGUUUUUUCGGUAAAGUCCUUGUAUAAGACAAUGCAAUCGACUUAUUCAGCUUUGUUCCCUUCAAAGAUUAUUUGGAGAUCAUGUGCUCAGCCCAAGAUUAGCUUCUUUGUGUGGGAGGCUUCGUGAGGUAGAGUUUUGACUCUAGAUCGGUUGCAAAAGAGGGGUUGGGUUUUGGCAAAUAGGUGUUUUCUUUGUCAAAAGUGUGAGGAGUCGAUUGACCACCUUCUCCUUCAUUGCAAAAAAACAAGGGAGGUGUGGACUUUGUUCCUCUCUUUCGUUGGAGUUUCUUGGGUUUUUUCGCCUUUGGUGAAGGAAACUCUCAUAGGUUGGAGAGGCUCCUUUGUGGGCAAGAAAAGGAAGGUGGCAUGGCUUUUGGGGCCGUUAUGCUUGUUUUGGGUUAUUUGGAAGACUAGGAAUUCAAUUGCUUUUGAGGACGGGGUGUGUUGUCCAUCCAAAAGCUGAAAAGUUCUUUUGUGUAUUUACUUUGGUCGGAAACUAAAUUGUGGAUAAAAGAUGGGCCUUCGACCUUAAUAGAUUUUAUUGAAUGGGUGUGUAUGCGUUAAGGAAGAGGGUUUUUUUUUUUAGCUCUCUUAGUGGUUUGGGUUCUUUUGUAAGGGGGUGAGUUGUUCUUCUCUGUAUCUAUUUGAGUCGCUUCUUUAGCGCCUCUUUUGCAAUAUACAUAUUUUCUUACUGAUAAAAAAAAAAAAGUUUCUAUUAGAAUUCCUAAUGAUUUAUUUAAUUUAUUUGUGAUUUCAUUUUCCACAAAUGCAAAAAUUUGUCAUGCAAAAAAUUUAGUCAAAAUAUUCCUCACUCCCUCAUUUUACUGAAAAAUCUUUGACUUCUGUUAAUUGUUUGUCCUAGUACCGUCUAUUUUAGCAAUUACUAUAGUUGGUUUACACUAAUGACUCAUAAAUGACAAUUAUAUAUUUAUUGGCCAAUAGAAUCUAAAAGGAAGCAAGACAGUUAUAUUAUUGGGUGUUAUGUGGUGGUAGUGGGUUUUCUUGGAGAUUAUGACACAAUAAUAAGCCUUCUUUAUAUGGAUGUCUUGUGUGUUAAUAUUCUGUGUGAAUGAAAUUGAAAUUAUUUGGCAGUUCCUUGUAUAAUUUUAUUGCUCGUUAAGAAUUUAGCCUCUAAAGCUGCACUAGACUCUAAAGCUGCAGGAUUGUGUGUGUUAGUCAGCCAUUGGAGUGGUGAAUUAGAGGAUAACUUCAUAGAUGAUCUUUCUGUUGGCUUGGCAAGUGGACAGGUUCUAUCAAGCUGAACUCCUUAAGCUCUGUUAUGUGUUCUGCUUUUUUUAUUGCUACUAGAAAGAAACUAUUGUAUAUCAUGUCAUAUAGACCAAAAUGAUGCCUUUUGUUUAAGUGAGUGGUUUGCCAAGUAUAAUCAGGUAUAAAUGGAAUUUUAUUUGUGAUUUCAUUUUCUAAGAAUGCAGAAAUUUGGCAUGCAACAAAUUUAGUCAAGAUGUUCCCCACUCCCUCACUUUAAGGAAAAAUCUUCAACAUCUGUUAAUUGUUUGUCUUGAUGCUGCCUUUUUCUAUUGGUUACUAUGGUUAGUUUAUAUUAGUGACUCAUAAAUGAUAAUUAUAUUCUUACAGGAAUCUGAGCCACAAUUCAUUAUCUGGGCCCAUUGGCAAUGUGUUUAUUGGCCAACAAAAUCUAAAAGAAAUGUGUAUUUAUCGGCUUAUAGAAUCUAAAAGGAAGCAAGGCACAAUGAUAAGCCUUGGGUGUUACCUAGUGGUAGUGGGACUUUACAAGAUUGUGAUCUUCUUGGCUAGUUUGUAGGUCCCUUCAUAGCAACCUUUCUAUCACUUGGUGUUAUAUAUUUCUCUUAUCAAACAACUUGUUUCUUUCUUACCAGGGACAUCCAUGGUAACCAAUUUAUUGGCAUCAUUGCAAGACAAUUUCAGUCAAUACCAAAUUUAUGGUUUGUCAUAAUAGCCUGAGUAAAGUUGUUGCUUUUAAUUUGUGUACACUAUCAUAUUGAGUUGUGUUUUGAUAACUUUUUAUCUUUAUCUCUUAUUAGGAUUUGGGGGAAUAGGUUCCAUCCUGGAAACAACUUAUUCACCUUAGGAUUUCCCUUUAGAAACUGAGCAGAAUAUUUAUAGCCUACCAACAAUUGAAUCAAGCGUUGUUGAGAACUACCCCUUUAGGAAAGUACAUGAACACAAGAAGAAAAGCCUGGGUUCUGGAGGAAUAGCUCUUAUGGUUGGUGGAGGAAUUCUGUUGGUAAGCUGUGUGGUGCUCCUACUUGUUGUCUGCAUUAAUUGAGCUCAUGCACAAAAUCACAAAAGCUUGGAGAGCUAUGAAAGUCCAUGGUAUUAUCUUUUAACUACUAUAAUUGAAGGUGAAAUUUAAUUUGCUUAUGUACAUACUUAUGAUGAUCUAUAGUACUGUUAUAUAUCAGCUAUGGAUUAUUACCUUCCUUCCUAGUCAUUCAACGGUCUUCGAUUGCAGCAGAAGAGAGGCCACAGUCCCUUGCUCUCGAUCCUACAUUGAGGUUUAUGUCAAGGCGGAUUCCCACUGCUUGCCAUGUCAAAUUUAAGAAAAUUUCUUUAAAAAAUGUUCCUCCAAGAAACCAGAAUCCCAACAAAUGCAAAAUGUACACUAUGGUAGAGGUUCAAUUGGCUAGAAACAACAAUCAUCUUCUUUGGAGGUUCCUUUAAACAAUCAUGCUAUUCUGUCAACAUGGAUGAUGUUGUCCUUAGUUUACAACAUUGAUAGGUGUUGUAAGCAUGAUUGCAAAAACUAGUACCUAACCAUGCUAGCUUCAUCCAUGUGACUUCACAAUUCUUUAGGGUUCUUUAUUAUAUUAUCUAUUUUGAUCUCCAUAGUUUAUGAGUGAAUGAAUUAUGAAUCUAAAAAAAGCUUCAUUUGGGCAAAUCUAUACAAUGACGUGGUGGUUCUAGAAUUAUACCUUCUAGAGUUGAAGAUUUUUAGUAGUUACAUUUUUUUUAUGAGAAAGAUUGUUAGUAGUUAUAUUUAUUUAAUCAAAGCAAUAAAAAAGCUAAAGAACACAUUGAGAUGGCAAAAAUUAGAGGAAGUACAGGUUCUUUGGUUGUGAUUUGGGUCCUGUACGACAAAUAACUUCCUAUGAGUUAAAUCACCAAGAAAUUAGUGUGUCAUUUAUGUCUAAAGGGGAGAUGAGCUGUAUAACAAUAGUUGUUGGCAAUUGUUCUAUGGCUGAUCAUCAUCAUAGUUCAUUAGGAAAUAUUGCAUGUUGAUUAUGAUCUUAUCUAAUAUUUACCCAUAUAAUUGUAGGUUAACCAUAUUGGCACAGCGAUUGAAUCCAUUUGAGCUACCUCUAAAACUGCAGGAUUGGGUAUGAUAUCAACCACCAAAGUGGUGAAUUAGAAGAGAGUCAACCACCAGAGUGGUGAAUUAGAAGAUAACUUCAUAGCUGAUCUUUCUGUUGACUUGGUAAGUGAACGUGUUCUAUCAUAUGAGCUCCUUAAGCUCUGUUAUGUGUUCUGCAUUCUUUUGUUGUUGCUUGAAAAAAACCAUUGUAAAUCAUGUCAUAUAGACCAAAAUGGUGCCCUUUGCUGAAGCAAGCAGUUUGUCAAUCAUAAUCAGGUAUAAAUGGAAUAUUAUGUCUCUCUGAUGCCUUCAUUGCCUAACAUAUGGAAUUUUUUUUUUCAUUAUAGGAUAAAAUAUACAUAUUUCAAGGACCUUUUUUGCCAUAGCCAACUUAGUAGCUAGGGUUAGUUUAAUGUUGUUGUAUGCAUUUGGAAAAUGGCAUACUUUAAUCAUCAGUCUAUUAUGUCUAGAUAAUUCAGCUAAGCUAUUUAGAGCCCUAAUUCAGAAGUUGACCUGGUUGGGUAUUCCUAAACAUCCUGUUGUUUAGUUAUUUGAGUGACUAGGAUAAUCUGAUCGGACAGUAUCUAGCUCAAGAUCGCAACUCUCAGCUUGAUGUUUUGGUUUUUCAAACAUGUUUAGUUACUGUAGGAUUCAUGGUAGAGAAGCUAAUGGAUAUUUAUUAAUAAAAAAAUAAUGAAAGUGCAAGAAAAAUCUUUCAGAAUUUCCAGUAUUUUGUCUUUCAAUCAAUUUUGAUUUGUUGCAUAUUGGUCUUUUUUUUUUUAUAUAAUCAUCCUUGGUUAUGAUUAGAUACCUCCCUAUUGUUUUCCAUUCAAUUUGCUACAACAGCUGCAUUGAAGAGGACCUUCUUGGAGAAGGAUUCCUUGGUUCUGUCUACAAAGCAGAGUUUCCUAAUGGACCUGAACUGAACAUGCAUUUGCAAGCUUCUUCUAUUUCAAACAUUAUUAUACUUACUAUUGUUUUCCAUUAAAUUUGCUAAAACAGCUACAAUGAAGAGAACCUUCUUGGAGAAGGAUUCCUUGGUUCUGUUUACAAAGCAAAGUUUCCUAAUGGCCAAGUACUACCUGAACUGCAUAUGCAUUUGCAAGCUUCUUCUACCUGAACUGAAUAUGCAUUUGCAAGCUUCUUCUAUUUCAAACAUUAUGAUUAUUAUUAAUAAUAAUCAUUAUGAUCAUCAUCAUCAUUGUUUUAUGACCUAAUCUUUGGAAAACAUACUCUUGUGCCUCUCUAGUGGCAUGGUUUGUGUAGAUUUUUUAAGCUUUUUGAUAGUAUGGUUAGUUCACUUCUUGAAUCUAAGAAUGACGUUUAUUUUCUUUUUCUUUUGUUUUAAAUUGUACAAUAGGAAAUUUGGGUAUUAUGCCUCCGCUAUGUGCCAACCAUCUUAAGAAGUGUAGUAAGCCAAAAAUCCCCAAAAAGGUAAGUUCGAUCUAUGCAUUCAAUGUUGUUCUUAUAUAUUUUUUUCUCAUAUAAUCAAUGAUUAUGAUCAUCUCCGUAAUCAUUACCAUCAUCCUUCUUGUCAUUGUUGUCAUUUAAGCUGUCUUUUUUCAUUUUCUUCAUUCAUUUUCUAAAUUAUCAUUCGAAUGAUAGGUUUUGAGACCCUUAUAUGGUGAAUAGUCUUAAUUCUCAAAUCUAAAAAUUACAUUUCUUAAUUAUUUUUCUUCUUUUUCUAUUUCUAAUGCUUUUUCUUUCUAAUCUAAAAGCCUUCUCUAGUGUACCUAUUGACUUCCUUUGUGGUCUUAGAUGCUAUGAAAUGAUGUCGUUAACAUAAAGACUUAUUGAAUUAGUUCAAUCUUAACUCAUGGAAUUGGUACUACACCAUUGCAAAACAAGUUUUCUUUACAUAUCCAAGGAUUUUAUUCUUAGUUAUUUUCAUUUUCUUUCAUUUAUUUUCUGAAUUAAGAAUAUAAAAAACUCACAUCAAUACCUUUACUAGCGAGUCUUAUCCAAAUUUUUUACGAUCUUAUGAAGUAUGAUUUGAAGAGAGUGCCUUAAAGAGCUAAGUUCGGUAUACAUAUCCAAUCUUAUUCUUUUUCUCAUACUUUUUCCUUACCGUCAUGAUUAUUACCGUUAUUAUUAUCAUUAUAUAUAAUUAUUAUCAUCAACAUGAUUAUCAUAAUCAUUAUCAUUAUCAUUGUUAGCACUUCUAGUAGUCUUUUUAUCUAUUUUCUUCAUUCAUUUUCUCCAAUUUAAUAUUUGAGAGGUAUUUGUGGGUACUUUGAUAGGAACCAUUUGUGUAGGUUUUGAGAGUUUUGUGUUGUUGGGACAAAAACCUUGAACAAAUAAGUUUAGUUAUUAAAUCAAAGAAUUGUAUUUCUUAAAUUUCUUCUUUUUUACAUUUCUGACUUUAAAGUAGGAAAGUCUUGUCAUGUGCCUUUACCCAUAUUCCUCAUGGGGGUGUUUGAAGCUCUAAUGUGGUCUAGCAAAAACACAAAGUUCAUGUAUAUAAAGGUAAGUCCCCCAAUUAAACUAUUUUAUUCUUAUUCUUGUUUUCUUUUAACUAUCAUUAUUAUAAUCAUUAGUUAUCAUCUUCAUUCCCGUUUUGUAAGCUCCUUCUAUUUCAAAAUUAUUAUUAUUACUAUAUUGUUUUCUUACUUAAUCUUUGGAAAGCAUGCCCUUGUGCCUCUACGGUAUGCUUUAUGUAUAUUUUUAAAACUUUUUGAUAGUAUGGUAGGAAUAAAGCCUUGAAGAGAUAAGUUCAAUUCUUGAAUCUAAUAAUGUCAUUUCAUUUUCAUUUGCUUUUGUUUUUAAUUGUAUAAAUAGGAAAUUCGGGUGUUGUAACUCCACUGUGUGCCUUAUAUAGGUGUUUAAAGCUAUAAGAAGGUUUUUGAGAAUGGAAAGUUUAUAUAUAAGUUAAAGACCUUUUGAAUUAUAAUAUUUUAUUCUUAUUUAUAUUUUUAUCACUGUUAUUACUAUUAUUAUGAUUAUUCUUGUUGUUGUUAUUAUUAUUAUUAUUAUUAUUUUUGUUAUUGUUGUUCUUUUUUUUUUCUUGUUAUUAUUAUUAUUGUUUUUGUUUUUGUUCUUAUUGUUAUUGUUGUUCUUGACCUUGUUCUUCUUGUUGUUGUUCUUAUUAUUAUUAUUGUUGUUGUUGUUGUUGUUAUUCUUUUUCUUCUUCUUAUUAUUAUUGUUGUUGUUGUUUUUCUUGCUUUUGUUGUUGUUGUUUUCGUGUUGUUGUUGUUGUUAUUGUUGUUUUUUUUUUCUUCUUAUCAAUUGACUUUUUUUAACUUCUUGUUGUUCUUAAUUGACUUUUUUUAUUUUCUCAAUUGAUCUUAAGAUCUUCUUCUUCUUUUGACUUUUUUUCAUUUUCUCAAUUGAUCAUAAGAUAACUUUUUUCAUUUUCUCAAUUGACUAUAAGAUCUUCUUCUCAAUUGACUUUUUCAUUUGUUGUUGUUGUUCUCAAUUUACUUUUUUCAUUUUCUCAAUUGACUAUAAAAUGUGUGCAUUUUUUUUUUUUCUUUUUUCAUUUCCUCAAUUGACCAUAAGAAUCUUAUUCUUCUUAUUAUUUUUCUUAUUUUUAACUUUUUUCAUUUUCUCAAUUGACGAUAAGAUAAUGUGUACAUUAAUCUUAUUCGUCUAAUUUUUUUCAUUUUCUCAAUUGACCAUAAGAUCUUCUUCUUCUUCUUCUUUAUUUUUUUUUUUCAUUUUCUCAAUUAACCAUAAGAUAACUUUUUUCAUUUUCUCAAUUGACCAUAAGAUCUUCUUCUUCUUCUUCUUUAUUUUUUUUUUUUUCAUUUUCUCAAUUAACCAUAAGAUAACUUUUUUCAUUUUCUCAAUUGACUAUAAGAUCUUUUUCUUCUCAAUUGACUUUUUUUUCAUUUAUUGUUGUUAUUAUUGUUCUCAAUUUACUUUUUUCAUUUUCUCAAUUGACCAUAAAAUAAUGUGUGCAUUUUUUUUUUUCAUUUCCUCAAUUGACCAUAAGAAUCUUCUUAUUCUUAUUUUUUUUUUCUUUUUAACUUUUUUCAUUUUCUCAAUUGACCAUAAAAAUGUGUGUGUUUUUCUUCUUCAUUUUCUCAAUUUACUUUUUUCAUUUUCUCAAUCGACUUUUUUCAUUUUCUCAAUUGACUUUUUCUUCUUCUCAAUUGAUUUUUUUCAUUUUCUCAAUUGACCAUAAGAAUGUGUGCAUUGAUUUUUUUUUCUUCUUUAUUUUCUCAAUUGACUUUUUUUAUUUUUAUUUUUUGCAGCUAGUCAACAAUCUUAAGCAACAUGGUAAGCAAAUUUGAUAUCCAUGUCAAAUCUUAUUUUAUUGUACUCUCUCAACUUUUCCUCAUCACCAUUGUCCUCAUCCUCUUUAUCAUCAACAUCACCACCAUUUAAUGACUUAACAUUUAAGGAGCAUGUUGUGAUGCCCCUAACAUGCUUUGUACAGGAUUUUGGAUUUUUGUAAUGGUAUGAUGCAAAAAAAAUACCUUCAACAAAUAGAUAGUCCUCAUAUUUAAUAAUUUUAUUUCUUAUUUAUCUUUCUUCUAUUUUUUAUUGUCUUAAAAAAAUCAAGUUGUUUGCCUUAUACAAGUACAGGUGUUUAAAGCUCUUCGGUGGCAUAGUUAUCAUAACGUUAAUGAAUAAAUAGGUUUCUUCCUUUAAUCAAUAUGUUAUCUUCUUAUUCUUAUUAUUAUAUUUAUAAUUAUUUUUAUGUUCUCUUCAUUAUCUUUCAUGCUUGACUAUUAGAAAACUUGUUUUUAGUGCAAACAUUUGAAUGUUAUACAUGGGUUUUGAAAACUCUCCAAUGGUACUUACACAAAUACAUCCAUUACAUCCAUUAAAUUUAUUUAUGUGGGUAUUUGAUGCUAUCAAAUUAUAUUGUUAGCUUAAAAAUCCUUUUCAGAUAGUUUUGGUCUCAAAUGAUGUUCGAAAAAUACCUUGUUAAACAUGUUCAAUCUUCAUAACUAUAUAUUUCAUUUUUUUUAUAUUUUUCUUCUGUCAUUUUCUAAAUUAACCAUAAGAAUGUGGGCAUUAAUCCUCUUUUAUGUUUUUGCAGCUAGUCAACAAUAUUAAGCAACAUAGUAGACGUAAAGUCCUUAAAUGGGCAAUUAUGUUAUCUAUAUCCAAUCUUAUUUUCACUAUACUUUCUUAUUUUUUUCCUCAUCAGCCUUGUCCAUAUCCUCAUCCUCCUCCUCAUCAUCAUCAUCAUCCUCAUCCUCAUUAUCAUCACGACCAUCACCAUCAUUUUCAUCAUUAUGAUUUUCAUUGUCAUCAUUAUCAUCAUCAAGAUCCUCCUCAUCAUCAUCAAUAUCGUCUCCAAUAUACUUUGUGCAUGAUUUUUAAUUUUUGUAAUGAUGUGAUGCAAAUAAAAAACCUUCAACAAAUAGGUGGUUCUUGUAUUUAAGAAUGUAUUUAUCUUUUUUCUAUUUUUGACUUCAUUAUAAAAAAUUAAGUUGUUUGUCUUUACUCGUACAUUUUGUGAAAGUGUUUAAAGCUUUUCGACGAUAUAGUUUCAAUAUAGUAAAUGGAUAAAUAGGUUACAUCCUUUAAUUAAACUAUUAUCUUUUUAUUCUUAUUAUUAUAAUUAUUUUUAUGUUUUUUUCUUGUCUUCAUUCUCUUUCAUACUUGACUAAUAGAAAGCUUACUUUUAGUGCAAAAAUCUGAAUGCUAUAUAUGAGUUUUGGAAACUCUAUAAUGGUAUUGACAUUAGGGAUGGCAGUUUUGUGGGCUAUUCGGGUAACCCACCUCGCCCCACCCCUAUUAAGACGGGUAUGAGUAGGUGAUAAUCGGGGAUGGGACGGGUUUGGAAAAAUUUUCAAAACCCAAAUCGGGUUCAAGGCGGGAAUGGGUUUUGUACCAACUCACCUCGGCCCGCCUAGCUAAGUUACAAAUUUAACCUUCAAAAUUUAUAAAAUACCAAACAACUCCUUAUAAAUAGUUUCUUUUUUCAUUUCCCUAGAUCAACCGUUGCUCUUUUCUCAUCGCUUUUCUAUCAUAUCUGUAUAUUGCCCAUUUCUACUUCAAACUUCAAAAAUCCAUCUUCAAUGAUGAAUCGAAGAAGAGCAACAAAAUCAAGAAACGUUCGUAGAGAAACCCUUUUCUUCUUUUCAAAUAAAAGUGGAAUCAUAAUGAUGAUUGGCUCCAUGUGAUAGUGACAACUUCAACAUUAUCAAGUGUCAAAGCCUUUGGCCUCCAUUUUAAGCCUUCUCCUCUUCUGAAGGUGUUUUGAUUUGGUUUUCAUCUCAUGUUGGAUUGUGUAAAAAUAUUUGAUUUAAAAAAAAAUUGGAUAUUUUUUCCUUUCUAAUUUGAGUUUUGGUUUGAUAAUCAACUUGCAUCCCAUAUUGCUCUAAGUGUGAAUCUAUAUGUCUCAGACGCGUUCAUUUUUAUUUUUUUUCAAUAUUUUCUUUCUAAAAGCCAUUGUGAUCUCUAGAAAUUUUUGUGAUUUUUUUUCUUUUUUCAAAGAAGUGUAUAAACAUGAAAAUUAUGAAUUUGUUCAUUGGAAGUUUUAUGGAUUGAUGUAAUGUUGUUGGUUUUGAGAAAAUCAUCAUCCCCAUCAAAACAAAAAUACAUAUUUGGGUUGAGACAUGCGGGAACGGGUUUAUCAUUUUUCCCGUAAAUGGAGAUGGGUAUUCAUCAUCAUGCCCUGACUCGGGAUUUGGGACGGGGAUGGGGAAGGAUUAUAUAAUUGGGAUGGCAAUGGGAUAAGGGUGCCCCGUCCCAAACUCACCCUAUUGUCAUCCCUGAUUGUCACAAAUACAUCCAUUACAUCCAUUAAUUUUAUUUAUGCAGAUAUUCGAUGCUACCAAAUUAUAUUGUCGACUUGAAAAUAUUUUUCAAAUAGUUUUGGACUCAAAUGAUGUUGUUGGAACAAAUACCCUAUCAAAUGAGUUUAAUUUUAAUAUCUAAAUAUUUCUUUAUUUGUUAUUCUUUUUUUUUUCAUUUUAUAAAUUAAUCAUAAGAAUGAGUGCAUUAAUCAUCUCCUUUGUUUUCUGCAACCAAUUGACAAUCUUAAGCAACAUUGUAGGCCUAAAGUCCUUAAAUGGAAGUUCGAUAUCCAUAACCAGUCUUUAUUUUUAUUGUGCUCUCUCAUUUUUUCCUCCUCAUCAUCCUCGCCGUCAACAUAAUCAUCAUCAUCUUUCUCAUCCUCAUUAUCAUCAUUAUUGUUAGGACAUUAAGUUUUGUUUGUACGCUCAUAAUUUUGUUCCUUUUAUUUUUUGUCAAAAGUUUUUUUAGGUGUAGUGUCUUGCUCUCCAUUAAAGAUCAAGGGUUAUUGUUCGAUCAACCCAGAAGUCACAAGUAUGUAUAAAAAGGUUUGACUUGUGACAUAUUAGGUUUUUUUGAGGUAAAAAAGAUUUUUUUUUUCAAGUUAAAAUGUUUUUAUUGAUUUUUUUUAAAAGAGAAAAUGACCACUUAAGUAGUUAGUAUUGCUUAAACAGUCAAACCACUCGAGCGGUCAAGAUCGCUCAAACGAUGUUAGUUUGCUAGAGCAAUUAUACUUUUUAUGUUGAGAAUUUUUCACACAAAUUGAAUUUAGAACUCUUUCAAAAUCGAAACUCUUCAGACUUUUUACCUAUAUAUACUUCAUUAUAACCCCUUGAGGGUAAGAAAUCAUAUAAUUUUUUAGAGGGUUUCAUUAAAGAGAAAAAUCCAAAGUGUCAUACCAUUCCCGAUAUCUGAUAUAAAGGAUUCAAGUGUUGAAUAUUGGGUUGAAGGUUGUCAUUUCUUCAAUGAGGCUAAAGUGAUCCACUAGAGCAAUCAAAGGUUGCUACAUCGCGAACAUGAAUUAAAUUAUAGGUACUAGAGAGUAGGUUUUUAGGGUAAAGUGGUCAAGUAAAUCUGUAUAAUUUGAUUUCAUGUAGUGAAUUUAGAUUAGUAGGUUUUAAACCUCGUGGUUUUUUUAUCUCUAUAGUUAGUGUGAGUAUUUUCCACAUAGAAAUCUUGUGCUCAUUGCUAUGAUUAAUUAUUAUUGUUAUCCUUAACAUCUCCUAGGUUUUCCUUAGAGGAUAAAAAUUAUAAUUUUUAUACUUAAAAGAUUUCAAGUAGAGCCCAUUUGGUUAUAUACGAUACCUCUAGUAUCUCACAGGAUAAAAAAAUUAGGGAUAAUACAUAUAAAUCUUUAUUUUAAAUUUUAAAUCACCCAUUCACCCCUUCCGCGGGUGGUCUCUAUUAGACUUUCAGUUUUCAGUUACCAAACAUCACAAUUACUAUCAUCGUCAUCUUUAUUCUCAUCAUCAUCAUCAUCAACAUCACCACCAUCAUCGUUGUCAUCAUUUAAUGACUUAACCUUUAAAGGAACAUGAUAUGGUGCCUCUAACGUGCUUUGAGGGAUUUUGUAUUUCUGUAAUAAUGUGAUGCAAUACAAAAACCAUUCAUAAAUUAGUCAUUAUAUUUAAAAAGUUUAUUUCUUAUUUAUCUUUCUUUUAUUGUACAUUUCGUAGAGGAGUUCAAAGCUCUUUGACAGUGUGAUUAUCAUAAAGUUAAUGAAUAUAUAGUUUAUGUCCCUUAAUCAAACUGUUAUCUUCUAAUUUUUAUUAUUAUGGUUAUAAUUAUUUUUAUGUUCUUUGCUUUGUUUUCAUUCUCUUUCAUACUUAAUUUUGAAAACUCUAUAAUCGUACUAACAAAAAUACAUCAAUUGCAUUCGUUAACCUUAUUUACGCAAGCAUUCAAUGCUAUCAAAUUAUAUCGUUUGCUCGGAAUCCUUGUUAAAUAGUUUCAGUUUUGAAUGAUGUUGUUGGAACAAAUACCUUAUCAAGCGGAUUCAAUUUUCAUACCUAAAUAUUUCUUUCUUUGUUAAUUAAUUAAAGUCAGAAAUAUGGAAUGAGAUUAAGAUAAAAGAAUAAUAGAGAAGUGAUGUUGCGAUAGUAUUAAAGUGUAACAUUUGGACCAAUAUCAUAAUGCAUAAAAAGUGAGCUCAUGCCAUACUAGUUGGAAUAAAAUUAGGGAUGCACGACCACAAUUAUAAUAUUGCUAUUUCAAAUGAAUGUUGAUAGUAUGAGAUUCUUAGGUCAUAGAUUUUAGUUAGCAAUCGAUAAGAGAUUCAACAAAUGUCUUUGAUGAUGGUAGUAAUUAUGAUGCUUUAAUUUGAUCCAUGGAUUCUCUAGAUGGAAGUUGGGUCAUAAACACUUGCGCAUCUUUCCAUGCUACUUCUAAUAAGAGAAAUUUCUAUAACUAUAUGCAAUAUGAUUUCUACAAACAUUAGCUAAAGCGAUGGUGAACCAUGCAAUAUUAUUGGAAAAGGUGGUGUGAAAUGUUAUGAUUUUUAACAAAUCUAUCACGCAUAAUUUAAAGAAACUAGCAAAGAAAAUUAAAGUUCCUAAAUAUGUAGAGCUCGAGGAGAUAACAAGGAUGCCAUGAAACCUCAAACUAAAAACUUAAGGGUUGAACCUAAAACUACUCUAUCUCCAUUAAGAAGAUCAUCCAAUACCAUUUAAGUCUAUAAAUCAUUAUUCUCGAUCUUUGCAUUAUUAGUUAUCAAUCUGAUGAUGAAUCUAAGUCUUAUAAAGAAGUUGUACAAGUAGAUACUAGGAGAAAUUGAGAGCAAGUUAUGGAUACCGAGAUGAAGUCUCUUUCAUAAAAUCAAACUUAGGAUUUGAUUAAAUUACCCAUAGGUAAGAAAACUUUACACAAUAAAGGUGCCUAUGAAUAGAUUGAAGAAGGAAAUUGCUAGCUCUAAGAGAUACAAAGCUGGAAGGUAUUGAUCACAUUGAAAUUUUAUUUCCUAUUGUCAAACUUUCAACUAUUAGAUUACUUUUGAAUAUUAUGGCAAUAAAAGACUUACACUUAGAAUAGUUGGAUGUGAAUAUUGCAUUCCUUUAUGAGGAUCUAGAAGAAGAGAUUACAUGCAUCAACAACAAGAUUAUGUUGCGAGUGGAAAAGAAAAUAUGGUUUUGUAAGCUUAAAAAAAGCUUGUACAAACUUAAGCAAGCGUCAAAGUAAUGGUAUGAAAAGUUCAAUGGUUUUACGUUAAAAAAACAAGGUUUAAUAGAUGUAAUGCAUCUCAUUAUUGUUUCUUUGAGAAACUCUACUCUUCUUAUUUAAUUCUCCUUCUAUAUGCAAAUGAUAUGCUUAUUGUAGGCUCAAGCACGAAUAAGAUCUUCAAACUAAAAGAGUAAUUGUUAAGCAAUUUUCAAUGAUGAAUGUGAGAGUUGUUAAUCAAAUCCUUGGUAUGAGAAUCAAUAGAGACUGUGUGAAUAAGAAACUAAAAUUAUCAUAAGCUAAAUGCAUUGUUAUGGUGCAUAAGAGGUUUAAUAGAGGACAAUCUAACUAGUCAACACUUCUUUAGCAAGUCAUUUUAAGCUUUCAAAUGGACAAUGUGUAGAGCCACAAGUUGAUCAUGACUACAUGGAAAAGUUUCAUAUGCCUCAGCUAUUGAUAAACCUAAUGUAUGCCAUGGUCUAUAUAAAAGCACAUUGCUCAAAGUGUAGAUGAUAGUACAUUCAUAAGUACUCCUGGAAAGGAACAUUGAGAAGCAAUUAAAUGAAUAUUUUGAUAUAUCUUAAAGAUAACACUGAUCUUUUUCUAUAUGUGGAGAAUAUCUUAAAGAUAGCACUAAUCUUGUUUAUAAGGUUAUGUUUAUACAAAUUUAUUAGGAGAUAUUAAUACUAGAAUAAACGUUAUGAGCUAUGUGUUGACUUUUAAGUAAUGCAACAAUGAAUUGGAUAUCUCAAUAACAAAAAAUUGUAGUUAUUUCCAUGAUAGAAGAAAAAUAUAUUGCUACCAUAAAGGUAUGCAAGGAGAUGAUUUGGCUAACAAAAUCUUAUGAAAAAGUUGGUCAAGUCAAUGUUAAUUAUGGUGUUUACAAUUAAAAGGUUGAAGCUUUGUUCAAUUUCGUUUUAUCUUUAGAUGCAAAGAUAAAAAUUACAUCAAGUUCCUUGUACAUAUUUUAGUGUAUGAGCUACUUUUGAAUCUCCAUCCAAAUGGAAGAUAGUUACAUGUUGGGUGGGAUUAUUUAGGUUUCUUGACAUAGUUAGGCUAUGUUUGAUUCCCAUAAAGUAUGAAGGAAAGAAAAAAAAAUGUUAAGAAAUAUGAUUUUCUUAUAUUUGGUUUUACUAUAGAAAAUAUAAAAAAAAGUCAAAUAUAAUUAAAAUUAUUAAGAAAAUUAUAUAUUUUUAAAUUAUUUAAUACUUACAUAGAAAAGGUAAAUAAGUGAAAAAAGUUUAAAGUAAUAUAUAAAAAUAAUUUAUUGACUUUAAUCUAUUUUUUAUUUUCCUUCCUUUUUUCUUUUCUUCUUUAUUUUCUUUCCUUAUCAUUUUCCUUCAAACUUUCCAAUAUCCAAACAUAACCUUAUUCGAUAAGUCUAUAUAUUCAAUUUAAUUACAAGCAUAGUGACUAUGCGAAAUUAGUGACAUGCUAACUAAUGAUAUUCAUAAUCAUUUAAGAGGUCUUGAGUGAGUGCAUUAAUUUGGUGUGACCCAACAUCAAUGUAGCUCGACAACUUCAUAGAUGUGACCCAACACGGAUGUUGCUACGUAACUUUAUAGAUUUCUUCUUUGAUGUUUACUUUUAAUUUUUUAAGUAUUGAAGACAAUGACAAAGGAUAAUACAAAAAAAUAAUUAAAUAACAAGUAACUUAUUUUCAAUUAUAUAUAUAAUAACACUUUCUUCUACUUGGUUGGUUUUGAGAAUAUGUGAGGGAAAAUAUGAGAAAAAUAAUAAAUUAUUAUUAUAUAUUACUUUAAAUUUAUUUAAUCUUUUUUAAAAUUUUUAAAUAAAAGUUAAAUAAUUUAUAAAUUUAUAAAUUUUUUAUUAAUUUUAAUAAUAUUUAAUUUUUUUAUAUUUUUCAUCGUACAAUCAAAUAUGAAAAACUUAAUUAUAUUUUCUUAAAAUUUUAUGGAACCAAGAUAUAAUCUAUAAAUGUUAUUAUUUAUAGAAAAACAGAAGUUAGGAAAUACAUUAUUAUUAUUUUUCCAAAUUUUGAAUGAAAUUACCUAGCAUGAUCCUUUUAGGUCUUGGUAGAUCCAAAGAGACAUAAAAAUUAUGGACCCUAUAAACAAAGAAAUCAAAGAAUGUUGGUCCCACAUAAUGCUAUCAGUGGCGGCUGCGGACCAUUCACCCGACCGUCACAACGACCUUUAUUAACCAUGAUUGAUGAUUGAUUCAUGCACCUCAUUACUUGUCUACGUUCGCCUAGUCAAAGAUGGAAAUCUGCCAUGUGGGCCUCGCUCACGCGCUUUCACACGGAAAAAAAUUACACAAGCCCACUGCAACCUAUCUUCCCAUCUUAAAAUCUUUGAAGUUUGAAGCAUCUUCCCGGAAAAAGGGUGUGGUUAUGUUUAGUAGAUUUUUUUAAUAAAAAAAUAUUUUAUAAAAAGAUUAAUAAGAUAAAUAAAAUUAAUUAUAUGUACAAAUAUACUCUAAAAGUAUCUUAUUCAAAAUGCAAAAGUCCUCAAAAGUCUUUCAUAUUUUUCAUGUUUUUCAACUCUCAAAUUUGUUUUUUUUUAAUAUAAUUCUCAAAAAUUGUUUUCAAUUAAAAAUUUAUUAAAUAUAAUUUCAAAAUUAAAAAUAUUUUUCUAUAAUAAGAGAUUAAAACUUUAUUUAAAAAAAAAAGUGUCCUCAAAGCCAGUUUUGAAAAACAAUUUUUGAAAACUGUUUUAUAAUAUUUUAUAAAAACAAAAAAUUGUUAGGAAAUUUAAAUAUUUUUAACUUUUUUCUAUGUUUUUAAAAAUAUUUUUGUGUACAUAAUGUUUUGUUUUUAACCAUUUUGUAUAUUUCUAUAAUUAUUUUUUAAAAUAAUUAUCUAAAAACAAGUUAAAACAUUUAAAAUAUGUUCAAGAAGAGAAAAUUGUUUUAAAAAAAUAAUUACCAAAUAAGCCAUUAAGGUUUAAUAGGAUAUAUUUUCAAAAAUGGUUUUUUAUAAUAAAAAUCUACGUGGGACUUAACAUUCUUAACCUAUUUUUUAUGUUUUCAAAUAUUUUUAAUGUUCAUAUUUAUAUAAAUAAUAAUAAUAAUAAUGUAUUUUUUAAAAACACUUUGUUUUCAAAACAAUUUUCCCUCUUAAUAAAUGAAAUAGGCCACAACCAAACAUGCAUACUUUCAUAACUUUUCUCUUUUUUUUUUUUUUUGUUCUCAAAAUAAAGUUUCUUGAGAAUUGUCUUCUCAUUAAUUUCAAGAAGAAUUUUCAACCACAACUUAGAUUUUUGUUUUAAGUUUUCUUCUGAUUGGUGAUCUCAUAAAGUUGAAUUUAUUGCAGGAUUGACCUUUAACCCAAUGAAGUACUACUUGUCGGUGUGUCGACAGUUUGAUUUUUGGCUUUUUUUUUUUUGCUUGUGAGGCCUUAGCUACCUUGUAUACCCCUGUAUGUUGUGUGGCUUUUGGCCUCUAGUUUAAUAAAUUCCUGGCUUACUUAUCAAAAAAAAAAAUCAUCAUCAUCCUUCUCAUCCUCAUCAUCAUCAUUACUGUUAGGAUGUUAAGUUUUGUUUGUAUGUUGAUAAUUUUGUUCCUUUUAUUUUUUGUCAAAAGUUUUUUUAGGUAUAGUGUCUUGCUCUCCAUUAAAGAUCAAGGGUUACUAUUCGACCAACCCAGAAGUCACAAGUAUGUAUAAAAAUGUUUGACUUAUGACAUAUUAGGCUUUUUUGAGGUAAAAAAGAAAUAAUUUUUUUUCUCAAGUCAAAAUGUUUUUAUUGAUUUUUUUUUUUAUAGAGAAAAUGACCACUUAAGUAGUUAGUAUCGCUUAAACAGUCAAACCACUCGAGCGGUUAGGAUUGCUCAAGCGAUGUUAGUUUGCUAGAGCAAUUAUACUUUUUAUGUCGAUAAUUUUUCACAAAAAUUGAAUUUAGAACUCUUUCAAAAUCGAAACUCUUCGGACUUUUUGCCUAUAUAUACUUCAUUAUAACCCCUUGAGGGUAAGAAAUCAUAUAAUUUUUUAGAGGGUUUCAUUAAAGAGAAAAGUCUAAAGUGUCAUACCAUUCCCGAUCUCUGAUAUAAAGGAUUCAAGUGUUGAAUAUUGGGUUGAAGGUUGUCAUCCCUUCAAUGAGGCUAAAGUGAUCCACCAGAGCAAUCGAAGGUUGUUGCGUCGCGAAUAUGAAUCAAAUUAUAGGUACUAGAGAGUGGAUCUUUAGGGUAAAGCGGUCAGGUAAAUCUUUUGAUUUCGUGUAGUGGAUUUAGAUUAGUAGGUUUUAAACCUCGUGGUUUUUUAUCUCUAUAGUUAGUGUGAGGAUUUUCCACCUAGAAAUCUUGUGCUCAUUGCUAUGAUUAAUUAUCAUUGUUAUCCUUAACAUCUCCCAAGUUUUCCUUAGAGGAUAAAAAUUAUAAUUUUUAUACUUAAAAGAUUUCAAGUAGAGUCCAUUUGGUUAUAUACGGUACCCCUAGUAUCUCACAGGAUAAAAAAAUUAGGGAUAAUACAUAUAAAUCUUUAUUUUAAAAUUUAAAUCACCCAUUCACCCCUUCCGUGGGUGUUCCCUAUUAGACUUUUAGUUUUCAGUUACCAAACAUCACAAUUACUAUCAUCAUCAUCCUUAUUCUCAUCAUCAUCAUCAUCAUUGCCAUCAUUUAAUGACUUAACCUUUAAAGGAACAUGAUAUGGUGCCUCUAACAUGCUUUGUGGGAUUUUGUAUUUAUGUAAUAAUGUGAUGUAAUACAAAAACCAUUCAUAAAGUAGUAAUUAUAUUUAAAAAGCUAAUUUCUUAUUUAUCUUUCUUUUAUUGUACAUUUCGUAGAUGUGUUCAAAGCUCUUUGACAGUGUGAUUAUCAUAAAGUUAAUGAAUAUAUAGUUUAUGUCCCUUAAUCAAACUGUUAUCUUCUAAUUUUUAUUAUUAUGGUUAUAAUUAUUUUUAUGUUCUUUUCUUUGUUUUCUUUCUCUUUCAUACUUAAUUAUUAGAAAGCUUGUUUUUAGUGCAAACAUUUGAAUUAUGUAGAUGAGUUUUGAAAACUCUAUAAUGGUACUAACAUAUAUACAUCAAUUGCAUCCAUUAACUUUAUUUACGCAAGCAUUCAAUGUUAUCAAAUUAUAUCGUUUGCUCGGAAUCCUUGUUAAAUAGUUUCAAUUUUGAAUGAUGUUGUUGGAUCAAAUACCUUAUCAAGCGGAUUCAAUUUUCAUAUUUAAAUAUUUCUUUCUUUGUUAAUUAAUUAAAGUCAGAAAUAUGGAAUGAGAUUAAGAUAAAGGAAUAAUAGAAAAGUGAUGGUGCAAUAGUAUUAAAGUGUAAUGUUUGGACCAAUAUCAUAAUGCAUAAAAAGUGAGCUCAUGCCAUACUAGUUGGAAUAAAAUUAGGGAUGCAUGACGACAAUUAUAAUAUUGCUAUUUCAAAUUAAUGUUGAUAGUAUGAGAUUCUUAGGUCAUAGACUUUAGUUAGUAAUCGAUAAGAGAUUCAACAAAUGUCUUUGAUGAUGGUAGUAACUAUGAUGCUUUAAUUUGAUCCAUGGAUUCUCUAGAUGGAAGUUGGGUCAUAAACACUUGUGCAUCUUUCCAUGCUACUUCUAAUAAGAAACUAUGUGCAAUAUGAUUUCUACAAACAUUAGCUAAAGCGAUGAUGAACCAUGCAAUAUUAUUGGAAAAGGUGGUGUGAAAUGUUAUGAUUUUUAACAAAUCUAUCACGCAUGAUUUAAAGAAACUAGCAAAGAAAAUUAAAGUUCCUAAAUAUGUAGAGCUCGAGGAGAUAACAAGGAUGCCAUGAAACCUCAAACUAAAACCUUAAGGGUUGAACCUAAAACUACUCUAUCUCCAUUAAGAAGAUCAUCCAAGACUAUUUAAGUCUAUAAAUCAUUAUUCUCGAUCUUUGCAUUAUUAGUUAUCAAUCUGAUGAUGAAUCUAAGUCUUAUAAAGAAGUUCUACAAGUAGAUACUAGGAGAAAUUGGGAGCAAGUUAUGGAUGCCGAGAUGAAGUCUCUUUCAUCACAUCAAACUUAGGAUUUGAUUAAAUUACCCAUAGGUAAGAAAACUUUACAUAAUAAAGGUGCCUAUGAAUAGAUUGAAGAAGGAAAUUGCUAGCUCAAAGAGAUACAAAGCUAGAAGGUAUUGAUCACAUUGAAAUUUUAUUUCCUAUUAUCAAACUUUCAACUAUUAGAUUACUUUUGAAUAUUAUGGCAAUAAAAGACUUACAUUUGGAAUAGUUGGAUGUGAAUAUUGCAUUCCUUUAUGAGGAUCUAGAAGAAGAGAUUACAUGCACCAACAAUAAGAUUAUGUUGCGAGUGGAAAAGAAAAUAUGGUUUUGUAAGCUUAAAAAAAGCUUGUACAAACUUAAGCAAACGUCAAACAAAUGGUAUGAAAAGUUGAAUGGUUUUACGUCAAAAAAACAAGGUUUAAUAGAUGUAAUGCAUAUCAUUACUGUUUCUUUGAGAAACUUUACUCUUCUUAUUUAAUUCUCCUUCUAUACGCAAAUGAUAUGCUUAUUGUAGGCUCAAGCACGAAUAAGAUCUUCAAACUAAAAGAGUAAUUGUUAAGCAAUUUUCAAUGAUGAAUUUGAGAGUUGUUAAUCAAAUCCUUGGUAUGAGAAUCAAUAGAGACCGUGUGAAUAAGAAACUAAAAUUAUCAUAAGCUAAAUGCAUUGUUAUGGUGCAUAAAAGGUUUAAUAGGGGACAAUCUAACUAGUCAACACUUCUUUAGCAAGUCAUUUUAAGCUUUCAAAGGGACAAUGUGUAGAGACACAAGUUGAUCAUGACUACAUGGAAAAGUUUCAUAUGCCUCAGCUAUUGAUAAACCUAAUGUAUGCCAUGGUCCGUAUAAAAGCACAUUGCUCAAAGUGUAGAUGAUAGUACAUUCAUAAGUACUCCUGGAAAGGAACAUUGAGAAGCAAUUAAAUGAAUAUUUUGAUAUAUCUUAAAGAUAACACUGAUCUUUUUCUAUAUGUGGAGAAUAUCUUAAAGAUAGCACUAAUCUUGUUUAUAAGGUUAUGUUUAUACAAAUUUAUUAGGAGAUAUUAAUACUAGAAUAAACGCUAUGAGCUAUGUGUUGACUUUAAGUAAUGCAACAAUGAAUUGGAUAUCUCAAUAACAAAAAAUUGUAGUUAUUUCCAUGAUAGAAGAAAAAUAUAUUGCUACCAUAAAGGUAUGCAAGGAGAUGAUUUGGCUAACAAAAUUCUUAUGAAAAAGUUGGACAAGUCAAUGUUAAUUAUGGUGUUUACAAUUAAAAGGUUGAAGCUUUGUUCAAUUUCGUUUUAUCUUUAGAUGCAAAGAUAAAAAUUACAUCAAGUUCCUUGUACAUAUUUUAGUGUAUGAGCUACUUUUGAAUCUCCAUCCAAAUGGAAGAUUGUUACAUGUUGGGUGGGAUUAUUUAGGUUUCUUGACAUAUUUAGGCUAUGUUUGAUUCCCAUAAAGUAUUAAGGAAAGAAAAAAAAUGUUAAGAAAGAUAAUUUUCUUAUAUUUGGUUUUACUAUAGAAAAUAUAUAAAUAAAAAAGUCAAAUAUAAUUAAAAUUAUUAAGAAAUUUAUAUAUUUUUAAAUUAUUUAAUACUUAUAUAGAAGAGUUAAAUAAGUGAAAAAGGUUUGAAGUAAUAUAUAAAAAUAAUUUAUUGACUUUAAUCUAUUUUUUAUUUUUCUUCAUUUUCUUUUCUUUUACUUUUCUUAUUUAUUUUAUUUCCUUAGCAUUUUCCUUCAAACUUUCCAAUAUCCAAACAUAACCUCAUUCGAUAAGUCUAUAUAUUCAAUUUAAUUACAAUCACAAUGACUAUGCGGAAUUAGUGACAUGCUAACUAAUGAUAUUCAUAAUCAUUUAAGAGGUCCUGAGUGAGUGCAUUAAUUUGGUGUGACCCAACAUCAAUGUAGCUCGGCAACUUCAUAGAUGUGACCCAACAUGGAUGUUGCUAGGUAACUUCAUAGAUUUCUUCUUUGAUGUUUAAUUUUAAUUUUUGAAGUAUUGAAGAAUUUGACAAAGGAUAAUACAAAAAAAAUAAUAAAAUAACAAGUAACUUAUUUUCAAUUGUAUAUAUAAUAACACUUUCUCCUACUUGGUUGGUUUUGAGAAUAUGUGAAGGAAAAUAUGAAAAAAAAUAAUAAAUUAUUUGUAUAUACUAUUUCAAAUUUAUUUAAUCUUUUUAAUAUUUUUUAAAUAAAAGUUAAAUAAUUUAUAAAUUUUUUAUUAAUUUUAAUAAUAUUUAAUUUUUUUAUAUUUUUCAUCUACAAUCAAAUAUGAAAAACUUUAAUUAUAUUUUCUUAAAAUUUUAUGGAACCAAGAUAUAAUCUAUAAAUAUUAUUAUUUAUAGAAAAACAGAAGUUAGGAAAUACAUUAUUAUUAUUAUUAUUAUUAUUAUUAUUAUGAUUCCAAAUUUUGAAUGAAAUUAGCUAGCAUGAUCCUUUUAGGUCUUGGUAGAUCCAAAGAGACAUAAAAUUUAUGGACCCUAUAAACAAAGAAAUCAAGGAAUGUUGGUCCCACAUAAUGCUAUCAGUGGCGGCUGCGGACCAUUCACCCGACCGUCACAACGACCUUUAUUAACCAUGAUUGAUGAUUGAUCCAUGCACCUCAUUACUUGUCUACGUUCGCCUAGUCAAAGAUGGAAAUCUGCCAUGUGGGCCUCGCCCACGCGCUUUCACACGGAAAAAAGUUACACAAGCCCACUGCAAUCUUUCUUCCAUCUUAACAUCUUUGAAGUUUGAAGCAUCUUCCCGGAGAAAGGGUGUGGUUAUGUUUAGUAGAUUUUUUUAAUAAAAAAAUAUUUUAUAAAAAGAUUAAUAAGAUAAAGAAAAUUAAUUAUAUGUACAAAUAUACUCUAAAAGCAUCUUAUUCAAAAUGCAAAAGUCCUCAAAAGUCUUUCAUAUUUUUCAUGUUUUUCAACUCUCAAAUUUGUUUUUUUUUUAAUAUAAUUCUCAAUAAUUGUUUUCAAUUAAAAAUUUAUUAAAUAUAAUUUCAAAAUUAAAAAUAAUUUUCUAGAAUAAGAGAUUAAAACUUUAUUUAAAAAGAAAAUUUCAAAACUAGUUUUGAAAACUGUUUUAUAAUGUUUUAUAAAACAAAAAAUUGUUAGGAAAUUUAAAUGUUUUUAAUUUUUUUCUAUGUUUUUAAAUGUAUUUUAAAAAUGUUUUUGUGUAUAUAAUGUUUUGUUUUUAACCAUUUUGUAUAUUUCUAUAAUUAUUUUUUAAAAUAAUUAUCUAAAAACAAGUUAAAACAUUUAAAAUAUGUUCAAGAAGAGAAAACUGUUUUUAAAAAAAAAAAUUACUAAAUAAGCCAUUAAGGUUUAAUAGGAUAUAUUUUCAAAAAUGGUUUUUUAUAAUAAAAAUCUACGUGAGAUUUAACAUUCUUAACCUAUUUUUUAUGUUUUCAAAUAUUUUUAAUGUUCAUAUUUAUAUAAAAAAUAAUAAUAAUAAUGUAUUUUCUAAAAACACUUUGUUUUCAAAACAAUUUUCCCUCUUAUUAAAUGAAAUAGCCCACAACCAAACAUGUAUACUUUCAUAACUUUUUUUUUUUUUUUUGUUCUCAAAGUAAAGUUUCUUGAGAAUUGUCUUCUCAUUAAUUUCAAGAAGAAUUUUCAACCACAACUUAGAUUUUUGUUUUAAGUUUUCUUCUUAUUGGUGAUCUCAUAAAGUUGAAUUUAUUGCAGGACUGGCCUUUAACCCAGUGGAGUACUACUUGUGGGUGUGCCGAUUUAAAGGAAGAAUUACCCAAAAGGGUGGGCUGAAAAAAAUAAUGACUAUAAAGGCUCACUUUUUUAGAGGAUAAUUUUACCCUUAAAUAUGUUUUUUAUAUUAUUUAUAAAUAAAUUGAGAUUGUCAAUGAUGUGGGGCUCAUACAUGAUGAUAAGUACAAGUUGAUAGGUAAUCAACGGUACAUUUCUCAGCUUGAAAAAAUUGUUAUCACUUUUGAACAAUCAAAUGACUAUUUAAAAAUUUGCUAUUUUUUUUUUUCAAAAAAAUUGAGAUUUUUUAAAGAACCUUGUAAAAAAAAUAAUUUUUAAUAUCUCAUAAAUAAAAACCAUAUCUUAAAGUUAUUAUAUCGUUUUAUAUAUAAAACAUACAAUUAAAAACUUUGUUAUCAUAAUAUAAUGAAUAAUUAUUUUUUACUAGCACUCAUCAAUUGAAUAAUAUAUAAAUAUUCAAUUGACUAACACACACCUAUUAAAUGAAAUAACUCACAAUUAUUCAUUGGAUAAUAUAGCACGUGAAAAAAUUAAAUAAAAAUAAAUUAAAUUAUGUUGUAAUAUAUUGUAAUGAUAGUGUAUUUAUAUUAUAAGUAUAAUGCAUUUAUAUUGUACCUAUAUUUCAUUACAAAAGUAAUAAUUCUAAAAAUGUUUAUUCAUACCCUAUUGGUAUUAACACAUCGUAUUAAUAUAUUAACAACAUUUAUUUAGUGUUUUGAAAUUAUUUAAUAAUUUUUGUAUAUAUAUAUAUAUAUAUAUAAACUACGUGAAUUCAAAUUAGUAUUUCAUUUGGUUUCAGAAAUUAUUUAUGAUAUAGGUAUGUUGUGAAAUAUGGUAUGAUCAUACGAAAUUACCAUUUUUAUAAAAAAAUUUCAUAAAUUUCUUAAUUAUGUUUUAUUAUAAUGUAAGUGUAUUUAUAUGUAAUUAUAACAUAUUUUUGUUGUGUUGAUAUUUUAUAAUAAAAGUAAUAAUCUUGAGGAUCAUCUUUUAUAUCUUAUUAAUAUUCAACAUAUCAAAUAUAUUAACAUCAUCCACUCGAUGCAUUGAGAAAAAAAAUUUAUAUGAAAAUUAAAAAAAAAAACAUUAUGCAAAGGAAAAAAAAUCAUAUAAAUUUUUUUAAAUUAUUUUAUUAUAAAAAUAAAAAAUGAUUAAACCUUCUCUAUCAUUUUCUUAUUCUUUUUAGAGAAUCUGAAUGAAAAUUUAAACAUUUUAUCUUCCUUAAAUUUAAUACAAAAACAUAAUUUAUCAAUUUAAAAUUAUAAUAUAUAUAUAUAUAUAUAUAUAUAUAUAUAUAUAUAUAUAUAUAUAUAUAUAUAUAUGAAAAAAUAAUCAUUUUUAUUAUAUAAUUAUAAAACUUAUUUUUUUCUUCAUAAAAUUAAAAAUUAUAAUAAAAAUAUAAAAAGGUAAAAAAAACAAUAAAUGAUAUUUUGAAAAUAUUUUUUGAAAGUAUUUUUGUUUUAAAUAGUAAAUUUAAAUAACAAAUUAUAUAUAAUUGUAAGGGUUAAACCCAAAAUUUUGAUUUAAAAUUUAAAUAUCAAUAAUUACAAUAAAUGUGAGACUCAUGUAUCAUAAAUGUAUUGACAAAUCAAGUGAAGUGCUUUAAAUGCUUUGAAUUUUAAAAGUUUUAGUUAAAUGACAGUUUUGGUAUAUUAAACCUAUUAAAAUCCUUCCCAAGAAUUAUUAAAAGAUACCACAUUUCUAAUAAUUGUUCGGUCCAAUCCAUCAUUUGUGGUAAUUCUCUACUAUUUAAAUGGGUAGGAGGUUGUUGUCAUUGCGAUUAAAGUCAAGAUUCCAUUGCUUUUAAUGUACAUGUUAUGGUUGCAAUAUCUUUGGGAGACGUACUUUUGAGCCAAACAGUAAGACCUGUCCAUUGAGUACGGGUGAUGUAAAUAUAUAAAAUGGGUCUCAAUUCAAGUAUAGAAGAAACAACUCAAACUUAAUCUUUUAAUUACUGUUUUUGAAAAACAAUUCUAAAUAAUAGUAUUUUUAAAAUAAUUUUUAAAAAUAAUUUUUUAAUUUUUAUAAAAUAAAAUCUGUUUAAAAAUCUAAAAUAUUUUUAACUUAUUUUUUAAUAUUUUUAAAAUUAACUUUUAUAUCUAAUAUUUUAUUUUUAAUUAUUCUAUAUAUUCAUAUAAUUAUUUCUUAAAAUAGUUAUUAGAAAAUAAGUGAAAAUAAAAAAAUAAAAAAUUAAAAGGUAUUUUUUGAAAAGAAUAAAAAAUAAAAAAUAAUUUUUAAUUAUUAAAUGUGUUUUCUGUAUUUUUACUUUUGGAGAAGUGAAAACUGUUUCUAAAAACAAUUCCAAACAUACCUUUACUACUCCACUCAACUUUCUCCGCCAUCGGUCUGACUACUGGACAAAUUAGAAAGUCUUAGUCAAGGUUGGCUACACUGGGACAUAAUUUCCCCACGAUAUUAAAUUGGUCUCCAGCGCCAGGAUUUAUUGUUUUCAUUUUCUCAUUAGGAUCUUACACACCUCUGCAAACGAAGUGAGCUAGCUCAAGGAGUUUGAGGAGGAGGAGGAGAUCAUAUAUCAUAUAUGGCUACUUUUCCAGAUAUUCAGAAGCCUCUCUUCUUCGCUUUCAUUCUCAUAUGGCUCAUACUGAUGUGCUUUGGCUCCAAAGCCCAAGGUGGUCGGCUUCCUGACGAUGAAGGUAAGAGAUCAAACUUGGUCGAUCCUCUUUUUUCCGACUGUCUUCCACCUCACAUUAUUUUCUUUAUAUAGUUGCAUGGCUGCUCCCCCAUGUUUGCCUCUUAGAAAUUAUCAAGAAAAGAACAAUAUUUUAAGACCAUAAAAAAAAAUAUAUAUAUGUGAAGAAGAAAAUAUUAAGGUUUCCUCAAAUUUUUUUGUGAACAACCCUAUAAAAGAAAAAUAUUAAGGUUCCUCCCUGUUUUCUUUACCUCAAAUUUUAGAAACCAAACAUACCUAAAUCUAUUAUUCUAUUCUUUGAACUAUUUUUCCCAAAACAAGAGAAAGAAAUAAUCACAAAAAAAUGUCAUCAAAUCCACCAGACAAAUAAUUUAAAUGUUAUUUUAUAUAUACAUAUAAGGAUUACAAUGAGUUGGGUUUUUUUUUAGUACCCGCUCAUAAUGAGAAGAGUUUAGAAUAAAGAUAAACGGAUUCAGGAUGAGUUUGGAAAGUUUAAAAAUGACGGGAUGGGUUCCGAGAAAGUUCAUGUAUGACUUUGUUCUACCUGAUUAUAUGUAAUUUUAAAUAAAAAUUUAUUUUAAUUGAUUUUUUUUCUAUUUUUCAACUUUUUAAAUAUAAAUAAAAUAUUAAUUUUUAUAAAAAUAAAUUUAAAUAUUUAUAAUAUUUUUUAUUUAUAAAUCAUAUUUAUUUUUAAUAAAAUUUUAAAACUAAAAAUAUUGAAAAAUUUUAAAUAGGGCAGGGUAAGUAUGAUAUGAUAAUUUUCUAUAUUUGUCUCCACCAUUUAUUUAUUUUUUUUUUUUUAUGGGAAUGAAAAUAAAUAUAAAUAAAUUGGGAUGAGGUGACUUGUCCCAAACCCGUUACCAUCCUUAUACAUAAGCAUAACUAAGAUGCUAUGAAAUAAAUUACUAUAAAAAAAUUUAAUAUUAAAUUUGGAUUAUUUUUUUUUGUUUUUAAAUAGAAAGUCUUACACAAAAUAUUGGAAUUCUUAAAACACUUUUUAAAAUUUAGAGAAGUAAAAAAUUUUACCGUAAUAAAUUUUUGAAAUUUUGAAAAGAUUUUCUAAAGGUAGAAAGUAAAUUUCUUUCUUUCAUUUUUUUUUUAAAUAUUUUAUAAGAGUUCUUUAUUUUGUAUAGAAGUUUUUAUUUUAGAAAUAAAAAAUAAGAAGUACAUCCAAACGCCACCACACCCUAAUUAUGAACCUUAAUCAAAUGAAUUAUAUAUGCAACAUAUUAAAUCUGAGUUGUGAGAUUUUUGUGCAAUGGAAGCUACAUGUACUACAAGAACGAAGACAUGAGGUUGAGGUUGAGGGUGCUCUUCUUGAAGAGUUCAGGCCCAAGCCCAACCUAAUAGUUUCUCAGAGGCUUUAGAUCACAGCCCCAUAUCCACUGGCCCCAAGGGCCCAAGGGCCCAAGGGCCCAAGACCCCAAGACAAAGCGCAUGCCCUUUGGAUUGGCCCAAAUGAUAUCCAUAUCCUAGGAGCUUAAAAAUACCAACAAUCUCCGAAGAUAAGAAGGCUAAGUGCCCACUAGGCCCAAAGACCUAGAGGAAGCCAUUUUUCACUAUAAUGAUGCUAACUUCUUUUUGAAUUCUUUUUUAAAAGUAUAUGCCCUUCAAAAAAAUCACCAAAACAUAUACCUAGUGUUAAUUGAUUUUAAAAUAAAAUCUUUUAACUUUUAAAAGUCACUCUAUACGAACGGUGUAAAAUAUUGAAAUUGAACCGAUAUAGUUGAUUGAUGUUAGAAUCAAAAUUGAAUCAAUCCUUUAGUGAUAAUAGAUUUUUUUAAGCUUAAUUUCCUUCGAUUUAUAUCAUUAGCUCAAUGCAAGUAAAUAUAAAAAUUAUACAAAUUUGAGUUUGAAGUUCAACAUAUUUAAAUUUUCUAACUUAAAAUAUAAUGAUUGUAUUUAAAAAAUAAUUUGGUUACUGUUUAAUAAUAAUAAAUUAUUGUAAUAGUGUAAAACAAAAUAUAAUAAAAUAUUGAAUAAAGAGAUUAAAAUCUUAAAAUAUUGGUUUGGUUCUUGUUUUUAUGGAUUAUGAAACAAAAGAACUGAAAAUGGAAUCGAUAAAUUUGGUUUUCAAAAUUCCUAACAAACUUUUAUAGUUAUUGAAAAUCAAAUAAAUUUAAUCGGUUUUGAUUGUAUUGGCUCGAUAUUAUCAAUUUUCGGUCUUUACUCAAGCGUAUAUGCAUGUGGGAAAUAUAAGUAUAUAUAUAUAUAUAUAUAUAGCUUUGGGAUUAACGACUAACUCCUACUAUAUAUUGAUGUGUGCAGUGGAGGCUCUCCAUGAAAUAGCAGAACAAGUGGGGAAAAAAGAUUGGGACUUCAGCCUAAACCCUUGUGAUGGCAACGCCAACUGGUCAACACCUAAAAGGAAGGAAAUGCCCUUGUAUAACAAUACUCUCACCUGCAAUUGCUCCUAUCCCAACGGUCAAUGCCACGUCGUUCAGAUGUAUGCUACCUUCCCUGAUUUAUACAUAUGUCUAUCUACAUAUUUGAAGUUUAACAGUCACCAUUAUGAUUUCUGCAAGUAUAUUCAAUGGUGCCAUGUUUCUAAUUAUCUGUAUAUCAUUUUAUUUUUGUGGGGUGGGGGUGGGGGUGGGGGUGGGGGUGGGGUGGGGAUGGGGAUGGUUUGUUAUGAGAACAUACCAAAAAUAGUAUUAAAUCAAGCAUGAUUAAACCCCGUCUAGCCUUGGUGGAUUAUUUGAACUCUCAACCCUUUUAACUGAGAUUAUUCACAAGCCCUUUUGUAGUCAGUCAUUCACUUAUACAAAAUAUACAGUUAGUUUUGUGACUUUUGUCUAUGUAGCCAGUUUGGUCUUGCCACUUGAAAGAGGAGAAACAAAUCAUCUGCCAUCCAUAAAAAAAAUCCAAGUACUAGAGUUUUUUUCCCCCAAUGCUUGUAUCUUUCCAGUUGCUCAUUGCUUACAUACGGUACCUACUACCUAUUUGAGAGCUUUGUCAUUGGUAUGCCUUAGAGGAUAUAUAUUCUCCUCUCCUUACUUUAAGGUCAGUCAAUCUACAAAAUCUAUCAUAGUCAUUAUAUCCCAAUUGACAAGAAGUUUGACAAUCUUUAUUAUUCAUUACUGUGCCAUUUAGGAUUUUGGGGGUGCUUCAAUGGUUUAGAAGGUCUAUGGAGAUAUGUUCACUUCCUGAACAACAUCCAUGAUCUUCUAUUAGUUGAUCUAAAACGAUUAGAAAAUUCUCUUGAAGAAAAACAGGGUCAUUAUGUUUUUCUUUUAAUGCAAAAUGACUUUUUGAGUUAGAUGUGGGGUGCUUGCAUACACAUACAUAUAGUUUAGAUAUACAUGUAUAUAAGCAUGUAUACAGUGGGUGACAAAUAAAGAAGCUCAAGCCAUCAACUACUAAAAUAUUAUCCUCCUCAUUACUUAAACACUUGUAGUAUGGUAUACAUAUAUAUAUGAAUCUAUUAUGUACAUGUAUAGUGUUUUCAUAGUGCCAUGGACCACAAAGUAUACUGAAGUUCUCAAUCUAACUUUGGACUACAUUCUCAUGGUUCACAUGCUUCGGGGCUUCUAAUUUUGAUGUUCCUCUAUUUUAUGAGCUACUGAAUUAUGGAUUUCUUACUGUUUCUUAAUUUGUAUUUGCACUUACAUAACUCUAUUACAUGUUUUAAUAUAAGCAGUUCGCACAUGAAUAGUUUCUUAUUAAGUGUUUUUCUUCACUUUACUCGUGCCUACUAACAAAACAUGACAUUUGGGAAUUUACCAAACCAAAACUCGAAUUCUAUGGACAUGUAUUACCUUGUUUCUUUGUCAAACAGAUUUCUCAAAGGGCAGGAUCUUGCUGGUGUGCUUCCCCCCUCUCUGGAAAAACUGCCUUACCUUAAGAUGAUGUAAGAAAUGCUUCUAUAAAUAUGUAUGUUUCUCAAAACUUAAAUUUCAAACUUUCAUUGUUGUGACAUUUUUUUUCUCGUCUAUAGUGAUUUCACUAGGAACUAUCUUAGUGGUAACAUACCGCAUGAAUGGGCUUCUAUGCAAUUAGAAUAUCUGUGAGACACUUCUGCACUUCAUCUUUAAGGUUAACCUGUAGAUGAUCUUUAUAAGAUUGAUAGAGUGAACUAUUCUUGCAGGUCACUUACUGUGAACAGAUUAUCGGGACCAAUACCUAGCUUCUUGGGAAAUAUUACUACUCUGAGAUAUAUGUAUGUAGUGACAUUCAUUUUAUCUCAACAACCCCAUUUUCUUUUCUGGAAAGUGCUUCUUAGUUUGUUUAGGUUUGCUUUUACUGUUAUCUUGAAGAAAUUGAAUUGAAUUUUUAGGAGUUUGGAGAGCAACCUAUUCUCUGGAACUGUUCCUCACCAGCUUUGGCAACUAGUCAACCUGGAAAAUCUGUUGGUCCUUCUGCUCUUAUCACUAUUCAUAUUUGGCUAUUCAUUUCUUGAUUAUCUGUAAUCUUUCAAAAUUAUUGCAAUUUAUUUUGGUUUGAUCUUCCCUUUGGUGACUAGCAUUCUUAACACUAACAAUCUCACUGGGGAGUUGCCUCCAACACUUGCUAAUCUAACCAAAUUAACAGAAUUGUAAGAUUUCAAAGCCCUUUACAACAAUGUAAAUGUAAAUAUUUCAUAUAUGUGAUGGAAAAAAGAUUAGCUUUUAUACAAUUACGUUUUUGUCUUUGUGUUGGAUCCAAUGCAGUCGGAUUAGUAGCAACAAUUUCACUGGAAAAAUACCCAAUUUUAUUCAUAGUUGGAAACAACUUCAGAAAUUGUAAGUUUCUUCUCAUGUUCUGAAAUUUCAUGAUAUUAGAAGUUUUUAGGUGCAAUCUUAGUGAAUUGGAAAUGUGUGGUUAAUAGAGAGAUCCAAGCAAGUGGUCUUGAAGGGCCCAUACCUUUUAGCAUUUCUGUCUUGAAGAAUUUAACUGAAUUGUGAGUUAAACCUUCUUAGUCAAUAUUUUGUUGAGUUGCUUAAUUUUUGCAGCCAUUUGCCUUUCACAUCAUAUCAUUAAAAUAGACUAGGAUUUUAAUUUUUCUUGAUGGGAUUCCAUGCAGAAGGAUUAGUGAUUUACCUGGGGAAGGCUCAAAUUUUCCAUCUCUAGGAAACAUGACAGGCAUGAAAAGGCUGUAAGUUGUAGUUGCGGUUUAAAAAUUCUUUAGGUGCAUAAUCAUUCUCAUACUCCUGUAUUAGUGCUUAUAUAGAUCAGGUUUACCUUGCAGGAUGUUGAAAGGCUGUAAUAUCUUCGGAUCAAUCCCCAAAGAUUUAGCAAAGAUGACAGAACUGCAAAUUUUGUAAUUCCACAACUAACUUUUUUUUUUCCCGUUGCCUUUCAUUUUUGGCAAUGCUAGUGAGUCCGCUAGAGUAAUGCAUUGCUAAUAUUACAAACUUAAUAUUACUAUGAACUUGUGUGUGUAUGCAUGGAAGCAAGAUGUCAAAUACUGUAUUUAUUUGUUUUCAAAGAAUAUAAAUAUAAGUGCAAAUGUCUAAGUUAGUUUGAGCAAACAACUAUGUAAGGGUUUUUCUUCUUUCAUAUUUUCUAUCAUGGUAACUAAAAUUGGACACUGAGAAAUUAUAUAUUUAUCCAAACCUAACUUUUAACUUUGACCUUUUACUAUUUGUGACUCUUCUUUCACAUGGAGAGAAGGUAAUUAUUUUCCUGCUCAACCAAAGAGGAAAACAAUUGAAAAGGUAAACCACUUUUUUUUUUUUUUUUGGCUAUAUUGGGAAGGAUUCAUAGGCUAGAACUUGCCAUAUGGAGAUGCUGACUAAGGGUGCUGGGAAAUUUGGACCAAAAUUGUGUUUUGGUUUCUACUUUUUAGUUGGGAACAUCCUUUGUUGUCCUUUUUUGCUUUGAAAAGCAAUUCCUUCCCUCUUGUGCAUUUUUCCCCUAAAUAAACUUCAUUCUCUAUGAUGAAAAGAACUGGAGGGGAAAAAAGAAGAAAAAGAAAGCUUUUGAUUGUGUAGAAACCUUUUUAUAAGAUAAAAUAGCUAUUUUAGUAAGAUACCGGCACUAGGGACCCUCAGUUCACCUUUAUUUUUUCUUUUGAAAAAAAAGAGGUGAGGUUGAUUAGUUUUAUAAUCUUAUGGUUGACCUGUUUGUAAGUAAUUCCAUCAUUGAAUUAUGUCUCUCCUUUUCCUACUUAUUUUUCAUACUUGUGGCAUUUUUUGUUUUCAAAUUUAUAUUGCACUAAAUUCAGUAGAAAGAUCAUUUGACUAAACCUUUAUUUUGUUUGCUUAAUUAUGACAUCUGUAUUGUUAUUUUCUCGCAGAGACCUUAGCUUCAACAAGCUGGAAGGAACUGUUCCAAACCUGGAAGAUUUAACAAAAAUGGAGCUCAUGUAAGCAAUUGAAAAUCAGGAAAGCAUGCUUUUUUUUUCUUUUCUUUUUUUUUUUCUUUUUUUUUUUUCAUAGGAGGUCUUCUUGUGGAUUGAUACACUAAAAUAUAUGUAUGAUUGUUCCAUUCUUGGUAGUUUACCUAGAUCAUAGAGUUACUAAACUAUGACUAAGCUCACACCCGAAAGAUGUAGGCUUACCAAGAAGGUUAUAAUAUAGAAUGGUAUAAGAAACUGAGUUAUAUGUAGGGAAGGCUUCCUAUAUAUUCAUCCUAUGGUUUAUGCUUUACCCUUACCAAAAUUCAGACUACAUUUUUCUUCAAUAUGACUGCAUAACAUUUUAAGAUAGUAACGACUAACAUCUCUUAACAAUUAAGACACUUUGUCAUUUUCUAUUUAGGUAUUUGACAAGCAACUUGCUUAAUGGGCCUAUUCCGGACUGGAUCAAGAGCAGAGAUAAUCGCUAGUAUGCUUUUAAUCCUACAUUUUCAAUUAAUUUGAUAUGAAAUUACUUAUUUUUGUGCUUCAAUCUCCUAUUUCUAUAUGCCUAAGUUGUACACGGGUAUAUAUAUAUGAAUUCCUCCUCUAGAAAGUGAUCCUUCUCUAACCCUUUUGGAGAUUAGUAUGCAGUAGACCUGUUUUAGCCAUUUUCAUCCCACCAUGUGCAACAUAUAAAAUCAUCCCAUGUAUUCAUAGGCGUAACAAGGCAUUGCAGAAAUUGAAAAAAAAAAUGUGCAUUUUUUUAUUCUCUCCAUUGUCUAUGCUUUUUUAUUGUUUUCACAACACUUUGAUUUAGGCUAGGCCAACACCUGAAUGGUCAUUAGUUCAGUGUACAACAUCUAAAAAGUGCAACAGGGACAUGGUAGAUAUAUUAUAAUGCUGAUUUAGAUGGUGAGGUAGAAGUUCUCAAUUCAUAAACUUUUUGUCAUUAUUUUCUCAAUUCAUAAAUUUUUUUUCAUUAUUGCUGCAUAUUAGCCAAAUCGGUUCAUACUGUAGCUAUUGAAGAGAAGAACUCAUAGAGAAGUUACUCGUAUGGGUGCUCCAAAAGCUUCUCAUUCUAAAAGAAUCUAACUCCUUAGCUCUUAAUUUCAAAAUUAGGUCAGAUUCCCUUCAAGGUUUCAUCUGCAAACUUCUAGUUAAUCUAUCAUUGAUAAUUCUUAUAAGAGUUCUUAAAAUUUUUGUAUGCAGCCAAAUUGAUAUUUCUUAUAAUAACUUUUCUGAGCCCUCUGUGCCAUCUACUUGUGGAGAAAGCUUGUAAGAACUUUUUUUUUCCUGAUUUAAACCUUAUUGAGCUUGACACAAAUAUUUUUCUUCAUUCACUAUCUAUUUGGUUGAAAAUAACUUUCUGUUAUUUUAUCAGGAACUUGUUCCGAAGCUUUUCUGAGAGGGGAAAAUUGUAAGCUUGUAAUUUUUUUUCAAAUUAAACUUUGAAGAGUAGUGAUAUGCAGGUUUGUUAGUUUCCUUGUACAAUACUGAUGUUUUGUCAAAUCUAUCCUUCUAUAUAGAGAACUUGGUAAGUGCCUGAAUAGUUUUCCAUGUUCCAAAGGUAAAUGCCUUAAUUAUGUUUUAUGAAUUUAUUUCCAUGCAUGAAUUUUAGUUAUUUUACUUCUUCUAUGUUUUAAACCUAUUUGAUCAUCAUUUAUAUUGUUGUUGUUUUAUGAAGAUCGGUAUUCACUGCAUAUAAAUUGUGGUGGAGAAGGAACCACCAUUGGAGACGUAGUCUAUGAAGCGGAUGACGAUUUAGCAGGUCCAUCCGAGUUUAACCCCAUCAGAGAUAAUUGGGGUUUUAGUAGCACAGGACACUUUUGGGAUCAAAACAGAACCUCAAAGGAUUAUAUAGCACAGAAUGUAUCCAUGCUCAGGAUGAAUGACUCUGAAUUGUACAAAAGAGCACGACUUUCUCCUCUGUCUUUCACUUACUAUGGACGCUGCUUAGCAGAUGGGAACUAUACUGUGAAACUUCAUUUUGCAGAGAUAGUGAUAAGAGACAAUAAAUCCUUUCACAGUCUUGGAAGACGUAUUUUUGAUGUUUACAUCCAGGUUGUCAAUCUUAUUAUUCCUGCAACUGGAAUGUCAAAGAAGACGAUUUAAAUUCAAUUAGUUUAUUGCAGGAAAAGCUGGAGUUGAAAGAUUUUAACAUUGUACAAGCAGCACAAGGGGUUGAUAAGGCAUUUGUAAAAGAAUUUAAAGCAGUUGUAAAGAACAAAACUUUAGAGAUCCGAUUUCAUUGGGCUGGGAAAGGUACAACUGCUGCCCCAAAGAGAGGAACUUAUGGUCCUCUCAUAUCAGCCAUUUCUGUAAAAGCUGGUGAGUUGUAUGCUCUGUAUAUAUAUGGUGAAAUAUUUGUAUUCUUCUUGUCACUCUUAUCAUAUUUGAGUUUGAGAUUCUUAGUUUGUUUAACUUGUUCUGCACUUUGUGUAAAUAAAUAAAUAUAUAAGCAUAGUAAUACAUUACAAGAAACUCCCUUAAAUUAUGGGAAACAAGGCAAGAUUACAUUGAUAUUUGACAAGAGGCCGAAUCAAUUUGCUGUCUUAUUUUCUGCCAGCUAAUUUGCUUGUUUGGGAUGUGUAUUAUCCAAUUGAUGUUUUUUAUAUUCAUAUUAACGUUUGAAUCAGACGAAAUUUUCCGUAAUUCAUGAUAAUGCAAUCUGACAUGUUCUUUUAUUUUUUUUGUUAUUCUUUGUGUAGAUUUUGAGCCUCCUUCUGAUGUAAAAAAGAAGAUAUUCAUUGUGGUUGGGGCUGUGGCUGUGGCUUUGGUAUUAUUCCUUGUUUUUGGUAUUCUUUGGUGGAAAGUUUGUUUUGGAGGCAGAAUCUCCCGGGAACAAGGUGGUGUAAAACUACUGCACAAACUAAAACUUAAGUAUAUUUGUUACAGGCAUGCUAGCAACCAUAUAGAAUUUUCAAUAUUUUUAUUUCAAUUAUGGUAAUAGAUGAAUCACCUUUGUUAUCGUGUUCUAACAUAUAUCUUAGAAAGAUGUGGAAAUAGACAAAAGAGGACGAAUGGACAACUGAUUUCAAAACAAUCCAGUUUUGACAUUUCUUUAGCUCUGAAGAGGUUUUAGCUCAUCACCUGAAGAUUUAAAUGCCAAAAUAAUCAGGUUUUGAAUAAGUUAUAUGGAAUGCAUAUCAAAUUCAAGAAAAAUGAUAAUUGGAAAUUUCAUUGUAUGGUGUUCCCUAAUUUCACCCAAUGCUCAAUUAAAUUGCUGAGCAAGAAGAAUUCCGAAUUGUAUAUGAGACUUUAGGUGGAGCAGCUUUUAAGGAUUUCUCUGACCUCUCUCUUUUAUUUCUUAAAACAUAUCUGCGAGAAAAUGAAGUAUUACAUUUGCAUUUCCUUUGUCUCAUUCUUUCAAAUGUAUUCUAACUAAUUAUGAGGCAUUCAAAGUACUAAAAGAAGCAAUGUUAGUACUUUGUGAGACACAAGUUACCAUUUUAACUUUUUCCAUUGAACAGAAUUGAGAGGAUUAGAUCUGCAAACUGGUUUAUUUACCUUGAGACAAAUUAAAGCUGCUACCAACAACUUUGAUGCUGCAAACAAGAUUGGAGAAGGAGGUUUUGGAUCAGUCUACAAGGUAUUCUACAGGCCCAUCAGUUCUUUGGUUAAUUCUUAAUUUUUAGUUUUGGUCCAUGACAUAUGGACCUAGACCUAUGAUUCAAGGAUCACUUGCACCAUGCCAAUUCAGGGUACACUAUUAGAUGGAACCAUAAUUGCAGUGAAGCAACUUUCUUCGAAAUCAAGUCAAGGAAAUCGUGAAUUUGUAAAUGAAAUAGGAAUGAUAUCCGGUUUACAACAUCCGAAUCUUGUAAGAUUAUAUGGAUGUUGCAUUGAAGGGAAUCAACUGCUGUUGGUAUAUGAAUACAUGGAGAACAAUUGCCUUGCCCGUGCUUUAUUUGGUAAUAAGCUCUAUCUUUGAAAUUCAUGUUAAUUUUUAUUUCAUUUAAAUAUAUCAAUAGUGACAAAAAAAAACUGACUCAUUCAUUAAUAGCUUUGAUGAAUUCCAUUGAUUCCGUAAUUCUGUUGAUUAUAGGUGGAGGAGAAAUCCAAUUGCAAUUAGAUUGGCCUACCAGGCAAAGGAUUUGUAUUGGCAUAGCAAAAGGUUUGGCUUUCCUGCAUGAGGAAUCGACACUGAAAAUUGUUCAUAGAGACAUCAAGGCAACCAAUGUACUUCUGGAUAGGGAGCUUAACCCCAAGAUCUCUGACUUUGGUCUGGCCAAGCUUGAUGAAGAAGGAAACACCCACAUUAGCACUAGAAUUGCUGGAACUAUGUGAGCUACUGAUCUCGUCUUUUUUUCUUUCAGUCCUUUAUUAAUAUGGCUAUUUAACUAUAGUACAGAGAAGGGAUGAUGAACAUAUUACAUUUGAAUUUUUCCUUCUCCAAAUCAAUGGCAUGAGAUAAUAGCCAGUAGUUGUUGAUCAACUCUGAAAUUAGACUGCUGCUCCAAUUUAGGCUUAGAAGAUGUCAAUUGAUUAAAACCUCUGCAACCAAAAAAGUUUUCAUGUAUGGAAUUUUUGGCAUCAAUAUCUGGUAGAAACUUGUAUACAUUAGGUGCUAUAAUUCAAAUGCAAACCUUACUUGCAUAGAGGUAAUUAGCUAGUCUUUGUGAACAAUGUUCAUGCUUUGCCAGCUAGUUAAAUAUAAUGAUAAUGUAAUUUAGGAUCCUUGAAGGGUGUUUUACAAACUAUUAUUAUUUACUAAAUAUAUAAGAUUUUGUUGGAAAUUUCCUACAUAAAGCUUAUUAUUGAAGUGGAGCCAUAAAACAAUGUUUACUGUGCAGAGGAUACAUGGCACCCGAGUAUGCAUUAUGGGGUUAUUUAACCUAUAAAGCAGAUGUAUACAGUUUUGGAGUUGUUGCUUUGGAAAUUGUUGCUGGGAAGAACAACAUGAAAUAUAAGCCAAAUGAAGAUUAUGUGUGUCUUCUGGACUGGGUAAGAGAGAUCGCUAUAUGUUUUUUGCAUGCAUCAUAUGAAAACAACAGUACAAAACUAGGUUACUUGCUUUGGAACUUGUCCAUGUAACCUGCUCAGCAAGCUGUGAGUCAUGAGAGACUCAAGUAGGAAGUAGACUGAACUCUGCAAAAGCAUCCAACUUGGUUGCUUGAGGCAAGUUCAGAGAUCAUUAGCCAAACUUUGUUUGCAAGGCUCUAAAUUUUUUGGACACUGAGGACUCUCCUCCGUAAAAUGUAUUGACUCUUUCUUCCUCAAUGUUUAUUAAAAGAAAAGCCUCUGAAAGAUAUGAAGUCACACAUGAAAAGGCAGAUGUUUUUAAUUUGGCAAUCUGUGAGAUGCUAAAUAACCUGAGGUUUCACUCUCAGCUGCUCUCAUCUCAUUUUAUGUGUGAAUAAAUACCAUUACCUGUUAAUAAUAGAUGUUUGUGUGUGUUGUAUGUGGAAAGAUUCAAACUGGUGAAGUGCUUGCAAUUUAUCUGUGGCACAGAAAGAAAAAUAUUUAACGGAAAAUAGCUAAAUUGCAAACCGCUGUAUGGACACUACUCACUGUUGGACCCAGUAUUCUGUGGAAGACAAUGGUGCAGUGACCGGUUGCAUGUAGUUCACUUCCAUUUUUCUUUCAUUCUUCUUUUGGUCUUGUUUGUUUUGGGCAUUUCCUGGUUUAUGAACUUCUAAAUUUGAAUCUGAGUGCAUGAAUGGAGGUUGAUAUUGUUUUAUCCAAGUUUCAUAUUUCUUUUGCUGACCUGUUCCUUCACAUUUCCACUACCCUCUUUCUGCAUCUUGAAGGCAU